UUUCAGCAUAAUACGAUGCUAUAUUAAAAGAGGAGGGCGUGAUUUACAAGCACUGAGCAUCUUUGGAAGUAGGAGCGCUGUGUCAGUGUUUCACCUUCAAAACGACAGAGAAUGUUAACGUAGUAUAAGAGGUACGCAACAUGACAGAUGCACUUUUAUGUAUUCCUGUCACAGGAACAGCUUUCUCACAGCAACAAUGAGUUUGGAGAGCAAAGCAGUAUCUUUUUUUUUUUUUUCAGCAACAGACGAGAAACAGAAUAUUAACUCGACACCACUAUUAUCAUUUUGUGUUAGUAAAAGAAAACCGUUUGCUGUAGGCUUACAUCAGCUUUCUGCAUUGUCUUGUGACUACGCCACGUAUGGAUGGGGAUAAGAUAAGAAUGCAAUUUUGUACCACUCAUGGAAUACAGAUUAGUCUUGUGUUUCUCUAGCCGGUUAACAAUAGCCUGUCAAUACAAUGUCACUGGGUAAUCUCUGAAAGGCCAGCUUGUCUUUACCGAGAUACAUUGUGGCAUUGUUGUUUUAUUUAACUUGUAACAGCAGUGUUGCUAUACCCUUGUUAUAUUGAAAGGUUAAAUAGAGGUAUUGCUAGCUCUAACUGUAGAUUGUACAUUAGUAGCAGUUUAAACUACUUAGGACUGAUAUCUCAUGUAAUUAGAGGAUGUGUUUAUUUAAGUCAUACCAAGCACUGAUAGGUGUAUAAUAUCAAGCACAAGGCAUAUAGCCAUGCAAUCUACAUACAUUGUCAGCAGACUACACAAACUGCAGAGGUCAAUGACUUUCAGCAGAAGAGAAUAAUAUUGUAUUUCCAGUGAGUCCAUGUUUUGUUAUAUUUUUUAUUUGUUUGCCUGAUUACGCUUCCUUGAUCCGCGGUAAGUGAUGGUAGCUUCAGGUGGAUGUCAACAAGUCAUCCGCAAAGUUGUCAACCACACAAUGUCACACAACAGAAAUGUCAAAUGGUAAAGUAAAUGCUAUGUAAAAAUAACCAUGACUCUGAAUUUGGGAAAGCAAGAAUUUUACCUGCCUGACUGCAUAAUGACAACUGUAAGGUCCCAUGCUGGAAGUAUAACAGUCUAGGAUUAUUAGUCAUCGUGGGAAAUAAGUCCCUUGAUGUCCCAAUGAACAACCUAAUCUAAAGCAUACAUUCUAGAUAAUUCUGUGCUAUCAAUCAGCAACAUUGCAUUUAGUUUGCUUUUUGUUUUAAUUCAGUGUAAGAAAGUCACUAUAAUAUCACAUUUUUUAAAUGUUAUUCCUUUUCAGCACUGCACUCCCUUCAGAACUGGCUUCAGUUUCAAUGGAAUUUAGGCUUCCCAAACCUAUCUUUGGUUAGAAACAUUACACGUGGGUUCAAACACAAAUCUUUCAUGCAAUCGCCAUUGCAAUUUAUGUAUGUACAGUGCAUCCUCAGUAUCCAUUUCCAUAAUGAACUGCCACACAUGCACAAUAGUGAGAGUUUUGUAAAAAAAAGAAACUGGAUUCGGGCUGAACACGAUACACUAUCAGUUCCUGCCAGUGAUCUGGCCAUUGUUGUUUAUUCUCUAUACAUUCCAAGACUCUACAUACUUGGCAUCCAGGGUCUUUAAUGUUAUUUUAAUUAUUCAAUAAUCAUCCAAAUUGGCUGCUAUUUGUCAGCUGGUGAGACCUCACUUGGAGUAUUGUACACAGUACUGGAGACCGUAUCUUCAGAAGGAUAUUGAUACCUUAGAGAGGGUUCAGAGAAGGGCUACUAAACUGGUUCAUGGAUUGCAGGAUAAAACUUACCAGGAAAGGUUAAAGGAUCUUAACAUGUAGCUUGGAGGAAAGACGAGACAGGGGAGAUAUGAUAGAAACAUUUAAAUAUAUAAAGGGAAUCAACACAGUAAAGGAGGAGACUAUAUUUAAAAAGAAGAAAAACUACCACAACAAGAGGACAUAGUCUUAAAUUAGAGGGACAAAGGUUUAAAAAUAAUAUCAGGAAGUAUUACUUUACUGAGAGGGUAGUGGAUGCAUGGAAUAGCCUUCCAGCUGAAGUGGUAGAGGUUAACACAGUAAAAGGAGUUUAAGCAUGCGUGGGAUAGGCAUAAGGCUAUCCUAACUAUAAGAUAAGACUAGGGAGUAAUGAAAGUAUUUAGAAAAUUGGGCAGACUAGAUGGGCCGAAUGGUUCUUAUCUGCCGUCACAUUCUAUGUUUCUAUGUUUCUAUGUUUCUAUUUAAUAUUUCCCAUUUGGGUAUUAUUUUAAGGUCAUUGAUAGAGAACAUAAACUGAACAUUAAUACCGUAUCAUUGAUACAUUCUCAUGUUUAGAUGUUAAAAUCUGAGGACUAUUCAUUGAACUAUUUGUACACACAUUUCAAAGUGAAAAUUGUUAAGAUCGGAAUCUUAUUGGAAGUACUGUGAAAAACAGCAGAUAAUUUAUACUAAUACUAAAUAUAGUAUCCACUUCACUUCUUUACAGCAUGUUAAAGUUCACUGCCAUUGUCUAACACAUUCAGAACAUAAUCUAAUUGUUUUAUUUCAACAUAUUUUAUGCCACAUGGAUUUGAAGAAUAAUACCCUAUUAUUCUGGAAAUAGUCAGAAGCGGAUUUAUUAAGUUGUAGUUUACUAUUGGUCUGUUACUUUAUUAUAAACUAAAUACUUGUUUUUAUCUGAGUCUUAAUUAGACACUACAAUUAAUUACAUCUUGAAAUGUGAGAAGUGGCUAAUCACUCCACAAAUUUCAAAGCCACACAAUCUUAAUCUGUUUCUUUUUUCAUUCACUAUGUCACCAAAACAUUCAAUAUAUGUUUUCUAAUUAGUCUUUGAGGGCUAACAAUUUAAUAGCAUGUUUCAAAAUACAGGUUAUAGGUCUGAAUAUUGCUUUGUUCUUAAUGUCACGUUCGCAUAGCUGUUAAAUUCAGCAUGUGUAAAAAGUAAAAAAAAUAUAUUCACAUAUGAGGAUGUGCCAACAUACUUUGUGCACCCAGAUGACCUGAAGUGCUAAGUGCCACAAACCUAGUAAAACAAAUGUAUAUACACGUUUUUUUAAAUUAAUUAGCAGACAUACGCUGAACUGACCUAUCAGCAUCUAUUAUCCCAUGUGUAUCAGAGAAUCAGGGUGUCAAAGUUAGACAUUCCAACACGCAAACAGUGUGGCAAGCUCAGAAGUAUUACCUGGCCUUAGGGUGGCUCGAUUUAAAGGACCACUAUAGUGCCAGGAAAACAUACUCGUUUUCCUGGCACUAUAGUGCCCUGAGGGUGCCCCCACCCUCACAGUCCCCCUCCCGCCCGGCUCUGGAAAGGUAAGUUUUUAAUGGGUUAAGCCUUCCCCCUAAUCCUCUAGUGGCUGUCUCAUUGACAGCCACUAGAGGCGCUUGCGUGCUUCUCACUGUGAUUUUCACAGUGAGAGCACGCAAGCGUCCAUAGGAAAGCAUUGUAAAUGCUUUCCUAUGCGACGGGCUGAAUGCGCGCGCAGCUCUUGCCGCGCGUGCGCAUUCAGCCCAGGAGGAGGAACGGAGCCGGGCGGGAGGGCGGGAGGAUUAGGGGGAAGGCUUAACCCAUUAAAAACUUACCUUUCCAGAGCCGGGCGGGAGGGGGUCCCUGAGGGUGGGGGCACCCUCAGGGCACUAUAGUGCCAGGAAAACGAGUAUGUUUUCCUGGCACUAUAGUGGUCCUUUAAAUCGAGCCACCCUAAGGCCAGGUAAUACUUCUGAGCUUGCCACACUGUUUGCGUGUUGGAAUGUCUAACUUUGACACCCUGAUUUGACUGCUAUGUUUAUAAAAAAAAGGGUUAACCCUAGAAGGACCUGGCACCCAGACCACUUCAUUAAGCUGAAGUGGUCUGGGUGCCUAGAGUGGUCCUUUAAUGUAAUAAUGUAAGGUUAGAAACAAGCCUAGCUCAGGAUAGGAGACAGAUGGAUAAACAAGUAUGAUGAUGCCAAGGGUCAAGAAUAUCAGAAAUCAAAAUAAAUAUUGUCUGUGCACCAAUAUAUAGGACUUUAGAAACUACCUGGAGAUCGUGUUUAUUAUGUUUAAAUGAGUUUCAUACUUUUUAUUUACAUUUUCUUAUAAAAUAGAACCUUUUUCCAAUUAUACACUUUUGCUAUACAAAAGAAACCAACCCUUUCUGGUGAAUAUAAGUGGGAAUUGAAUUACUAAAGAAUUCUGAGAUGUGAGAAUUUGUCUCACACUGUACUAUGACAACUUCACAAGCAGAGAUAAAAAGCAAUAUUGCCAAUAACUGGAAUAAAUUGCUGAUGCCUUUCACCAGUACCAUUUAUAUCUGUUGUAUUACAUUUAGUUUGCUCUAACUGUAUUUUGUGCUGAAGUUGAAUUUUUUUUUUUUUUAUCAGUUUCAACAAUUAUAGCUAUACUUCAUUAUAACCAAACGGAAUGCUUUACAGAAUAUAGAUUUUUUUUUUUUUUGAAUCAGCACAUUUGCUAAUUUGCAAAUCCUCUGAUAAUUUCCUUCAUUUUAAUUGUACUGCAAAAUCACAGCAUUUCAGAAGGAUUCUAUCAAAAUGCUAGGGAUCUGCAUAUUUAGCCAAAUUGUUCGCAGAUCAAUAGUUUUAAAAUCUCUACUAGAAAAAAAAUACAUUUUUCUUUCAUUGUGUUUUAUGAUACAAAUAUGUUUAACCCUUUCAUAUGCAGCUACAGGUUUAUAUGAUUUUUAGAUAAUAAUUAUUACCGACAAAUUGAGAAAUAUAUUAUAAGUAGAACAUUUAAUGAUGCAUUUAGCAUCAAACUGAUCAUAAUUUGUCUGAAUUUUGGGCGAUUAUCAAUUCACCUGAAUUCUGCAACUCUGGACAAAUCAUGAAACAAACAAAAUGGACAAUGGACGCGUUGUUUUGUUUGUAUCAUAAUUCAGAGUUCCAUCUGUGAUACCACAAAAAAGAUGAUUGAGGGUAUAAAAUAUGAUUGAUGGGACAAUGUUGAUUGUAUUCCCAGAUCAAGUGGGGAGUAAUUAACAGUACGAAAAAAAGGAGGAGCUGUAAAAUAAUAUUAAAAAAAUAUUAUAUAUUUAUUAAAUAUUUAAUAAACAUAUAAUAUAUAAAUCUAUAAAUAUAGAUGUUUAUUUUUUUUUUAUUUACACACGAUAUGCGAAUUAUUAAAUGGCAAGAAAAUUUCCUUAUUGGUGUACUGCCAAAUAUAUACAUAAUAUUAAUUUUAUAUUUUCUGGAUGAUCUGCACUUGAGGGUUAAAUAAUCCACAUGUAUGGUGUUUAAUAAAUACAAUCAAAAUAGUGUAUGGCGCUUCACAAUUAAUAUUUCAAGAGUAAUGUAGGUGGAUGAUGUGACUGAUAUAAAAGUGCUUCCCAGUGGCACCAAACAUAAAAAGUCAAAGAUUAACAAAAUAUAAACAAAAUAUACCAGUCUACAUGCACUAUGUGCAUGUAGACUGGUAUAUUUUGUUAAUCUUUGACUUUUUAUGUAUGGUGUUUAGUCCAGCAGGAAUUACAGAAAAUAACAGAGAAUAACACUCUAAUUUAUUCUUUAUAAUUACAAAUAAACUUUUAGUUUAAAAAUAUAUUUUAAAAAAUUUAAAUAAAAUGCCACAUGGAUAAAACAAAAAUCACCUGAUUCAAUUGUUGUCAGGAUUUAUUUAUUUUUGACAAAUUGAUUCAGAUGGACUGAAUUUUUUUUUUUUUUUGCCAUGCACAAAUCUAAUAUCAACAAUGUGACAUCAAUCAACCUCAUAGUGAUUAAUGUUGUUGCAGGAAAUAUUAAAUGAAUAGCUCUUUCCACUGAAUCCCGCUUUCGGUUAAGUCUUGGGAUUUAAUUGUUUAUGAUGUGCCUGAAUAUUGUCAAACUUGAUGAGCAUUUUAUUUUUUUGAAAUGUUUAUUCAUUAUGAGCUCGUCACUAGAGGCCUCAUUACAAAAUCCCCCAACUCAUUGUAUAUCCAUAAGUACAACAUGUAAAAACAGUGUCGUUUUAAUAAAAAAAAAAGAAAAAUAUUCUACUAAAAGGGAUAUAUGACACUUUAAAAUAUCUAAUCCCAAUAAUUUUUUUUAUUUUUUUUAAAUAUUAGUGAAUAAUAAUUUAUGUUGUAUGACACUUUUUUAACAACAUUAGCACUCACUGAUUAUUAAAUGGUACUUAUAAUUAAAUGACAGAAAUGUAAUAUAGAAUAUCAAAGCUAUGGUUUUGUUUUGAGAUACACAAUAUAAGUGUCCUACUGGAUUUGGCUGAGUGAUGUAAGAAAUUAGAUAUUAUAUGGAACCUAUCAUUGAAGAUCAUGUGAAUGACCAAUUAUUGGGAAAUAUACACUCUUUUAAGUUGACUUCCACUUACCUUACCAUUAUGUGCUAGGAAGGACCAAAGCCCCAAACUGCAUGAGUGGUAUACCACAAUUAUUUUAUGUUUGUUGCCGUUGCAUGACUGGUGACUGGGCAGUUGCACAUGUAACCUCUUACAUCAACUGUCCGUUUCAACUGCAACAUAACUUUAUGGCUAUACCAGUGGCGUACACACAAUCCAUGGGGCCCCGGUUUGAAACUGAUCCCCCUCCCCUCCCUCUCUACCCCGAUCCAUGGGCCCCCCCGACACAUACAUACAGACACAGACAUACAUACAGACACACACAAAGACCGGGGUCCGCAAAACAUGGCAGCGGAUACACGGUCGCAGGGAUCCACAGCUGCGACCGUGGUAUGUACACCACUGGACUAUACAUCACAUAGUAACUUGGUUAGUACAAUACAUACCUAAUUAUUUUUUUGCUAUACAGUGAAGACAGUUGCACUUUAGGCAGUUGGCGAAAGAGAGAACUUUAAUUUCCACUUAUUGGAUAUUCUUUACAUCUGCACAUCAAAUGUUUGAUAUAUGUGGGAAAGCCACUGAAAAUGUUAAAGGGACACUAGAGUCACCAAAACAACUUAAGCUUAAUGAAGCAGGUUUGGUGUAAUGAUCUGCAGUCUCACUGCUCAAUUAUCUGCCAUUUAGCAGUUAAAUCACUUUUGUUUCAGUUUAUGCAGCCCUAAGCACACAUCCCUUGGCUGGGACCCGCACAGCCUGCUUGAAAACAAAAAUUGUUUCAUUUUCAAUCAGAUGUUAUUUACCUUCAAAGUUUAUUUUUAUCUCCUGCUCUGUAAAUUGUACUUUAAUUACUUACAUGAGGCUCCUGCAGGGUCUAGCAAGCUAUUAACAGAGCAGGAGAUAAUGAAUUCUAAAUUAAAUAGAAUUUACAAUAAAGAAAGUUUAAACAUUAGAUUUAAUUUAUAUUUACAGGAAGUGUUUAGGUGGUGUAAGUCACGUGCAGGGAGGCAUUACUAGGGAUGUAUAAACAAGGUGAUUUAACUCCUAAAUUGCUUUUGAACCAUAGUUUAAUGUUUACCAUUUACACCCGAUUGGCUGCUGUUAAUGCAAGAUAUUUAAAUGUAAAUGUCUACAAAAAUACAUAAAGCUGCCUCCAAAUGCAACUGUUCUCUUGCUUGUAAAUGGUUUUUAGAAACUGAUAUUAACCAUUUGGGGAAGUGUCAUGAUAAAUGCAGUAAACUUUAACUUUAACAAAUGAACGAGGGGAGCAUGUGAAAGAAAAGAGAUGUUUCUUAAAAUACCUUCUCUCUAACUCUUCUCCAUUAGUUAUAACCUUCUUUUUAUUUCCUGACAUUCAUUCUAUGAUGGGUAUGAUAUCGUUAAGAAAGGAAUAGGAAGUAGAGGAAGGAUGGAGGACCCUGUCAGAAAUAAUUGUUAUAGUGAAAAUGCAAAUGAUUAAUAUCUAGAUUUCCUCACUUCAACCCCCUUUAGCUUGCAGUAAGUGCUUAAAGGAACACUCAAAUUGUAACCAUUUAGUAGAUAUACCUGAUAGGAUAAAAUAUUGUAGUUAAUCUUAUACAUGUACAUUAUUUAAUAUUUUUGACUUUUAAAAUGUUAUUUUUAAAUAUAAAAGAAUAUAUAUAGUGUCUCUGGCACUUAAGGUGUACCAGUUCAGGCCUGCUAUAAUCUAUUGGUUUCUUUGCCUAACCAACACCGCUAACUGCUCAACUAAGUCACAAGUUUACUUUUUUUUUGUUAGCAGACUCACCAGCAACCAUUUUAGAAAAAUAGAUAUUCUAUAUUCUAUAGUGUUCUAUGACACCCGUAGAGUAUGGACAUCUCCCAUGGAAUAUAUAUAAAUGAAAAAAGAACCCAUUAGUUAAAUUCAAUAAAACACUCACAAUUUGGGAAUAAACACAACUCACAAGUGAAGAGCUUCCAAUUCAGCUCUUAGUAAAGGCAUGAAGCGGUAUAUUUCCUGCUCAUGAAUAUUGCUGUAAUUGAGUCUUCUUCCAUAUUUCACAGUGUGGUAAACAUAUGGUGUAAAACAACCGUCAUGGUUGUCAUGUCCUGAUGGCAGCCCUGCUCACACAUUGAGAGUCAUAAAGUAUGCUUUACUUGUUAAUAACCAUGUGGGAUGGGAGACCCAAGCCCUAACUGAGCGUUGUAAAAUAGGUUAAACUAAUUAUCCAAGGAAGUCCUUUGUUCUUAUCACAUGACACAAUAAUCUUGGACAUUCAAAGGGAAAGGCUAGUUCACCCCAUCCCCCUGUGUUAAUAAAAGCUUCAAACAAAAGUUAUGUAUACAUCAUGAGACCUAGUGUCUAUAAACACAUGUUAAAUUGCCAUAAUUCCCUGGAUCUUUCUUAGGGCAUACAAUGCAGCUUAGACUAUAACUAAUGUUCCAAAAUAACACGUUACAUAGAUCAUUCCAUUUGGUCAUAUAUCCAAAAAUAUUAAAUUGUGGCCAUAUAAAGAGACCAGGUUCUAAAUGCUGAAAAAGACUAAGGGUCUUUAUUAUAUCAUAAAUUGUCUAUUACACAUAGUUUAUCAACAUCAAUUUAUAUAUUUCCCUUUGCUUAACAGGAGAAUAAAGUUUCUUUACAUAUAUAACAAAGGUAUAUAGUGAUUUGCAGCACACUCAAAGCAAUAGAAUGUAAGUGGACUAAAUCAUCAGGUAUACAAUGAAGUUUUUAUCACUAGAGCACACAGAGUAUUUCAUGGUAAUAACUAAAGAGACAGGUGCUUUGAGCAUUUCUGAAAAAGGUCUUUGAAAAGACAUAUCUGUAUUAUAGAACAUAAACAGCAUUUAUGUGAUGAACAUAAUGCGAUUCUCAUAAUAUUCUGGAAAUUAUUUAAAGGUCAAUUUCAUCAAAAGAAUAAAAUAACAUGCUUUAAAAAAGAUAAAGAUGUAAUGAUCUUUUCAAAAUAUUAAUAAUUUACAAGGUAAAUAUACUUUGUCAUGUGCUGCCAGAAUGACAAAAGUGUGGGUGUUAAUCUUACACACACAUGACUCCCAAUGAGCUCCCACCCCAUGCAUUGAGAGUGACCCUCAUACAUCUCCAAGCAGUGCAAUCCUUCCCCAUGAUGUCAUGAUGCCCAUACUGACUUAACGGAGCUACAGAGUAAAUCUUGCAAUAGAGAGAAGUACAAUUAAAUUGUGAAUUCUUCUGAGACUUGGUGAUCUAUUCUGAAAAAUAUAGCUUUUGAUAGAAAGUUGAGUUAACCCCUUAAGGACACAUGAUGGAAAUAUUCCGUCAUGAUUCCCUUUUAUUUCUGAUGUUGUGUCCUUUUUAAAAAAAAAAAAAAAUGUUUUAAACUGGUCUGAGUUGAAAUCUGAAAGCAAGUACCAUUCACUUAUUGUUAAAGGGACACUUCACUGCCCAAAUACAAGCGGAAUAAAAAUCACCCCAAAUAAAAACAUCCAUAUAUUUAACCCCUUAAGACCGGAGGGGGUACUAUUAUGCCCUAUUUUAGGUGGCUCUAAACGCCGCCGGGCGUAAUAGUACGCCCUCCGGUCUUUCCUUACUUACCCGGUCACCGGCGGUCCCAUGCCGGCGAUCGCGGUUGGGGGGACUCCCAGGGAGCCCCCCCGCAGCAGAUCUUCCUCCUGCAGUCCCCCAUGAGACCCUAUGGUAGCCCAAGAAUGAAAAUUACCCCUAUGAUGGCAUACCAUUUGCAAUAGUAGACAACCCAAAGUAUUGCAAACGGGGUAUGUCCAGUCUUUUUUAGUAUCCACUUAGUCACAAACACUGGCCAAAAUUGGCGUUUUUUGCAUUUUUCACACACAAAUAAAUACUAACGCUAACUUUGGCCAGUGUUUGUGACCAAAUGGCUACUAAAAAAGACUGGACAUACCCCAUUUGCAAUACCUUGGGUUGUCUACUAUUGCAAAUGGUAUGCCAUUAUGGGUGUAAAUUUCAUUCCUGGGCUACUAUAAAGUCCCAAAGGCAACGUAACCAAUCUGGUGAAUUUCAAUUUCAAAUGUAACAUGCUUUAUUUGACCCUGUAACUUCCCAAAACGCCAUAAAACCUGUACAUAGGGGGUACUGUUUUACAUGUGAGACUUUGCUGAAUACAAAUAUGUGUAUUUUAUUGCAGUAAAAGCAAACAGUAUUAUGACAUUGACAGUUAAAAUGUCAUGUAGAACUAAAAAAAAAUCAAAACAAAUCUUAUUUUCUCCCAUGUUUUCAUAUUAAAUUAUGUUUCAUAGCUAAAUAUUUGAUAUUAAAUGAAAGCCCUGCUUCCCCUGAAUAAAAUUAUAUAUAAUAAGGGUUGGUGCAUUUAAUAUGAAAGAGGUGAAUUACGGUUGGACAGACAUGUAGCGCAAAUGCCAGGUUUUGUUUACAUUUUGUUUUGUUCACAACGUGUACAUUUGGCUCCGUCCUUAAGGGGUUAAUUAUGCAUUUCUUUCACUGGGGCAAAUCUAAAAACAACUUGCAAACGUUGCAGAUCUCUUGUCUGCAAGCUUUACAAUCCCUCUCCUUCUAACCCCGCCCACACUUUCUGUGGCUGUCCCAAUGAGAAGUCUUUCCAAGGCAGGUGCUUUGAGCAAUUGCUACCUCUACAGUUUAGCUCCACUAAGCUAACUAACCAAGCCAGGAAGUAACAGGACCUUUGGUCUGCUUGAAAGUCAGGCGAGGGUGGGGGAGAGGACAAGGGGUAGUGUCCACAGUAUAAUUUAUAAAAGUGUAAUUUUCUAUUGAAAUGCACACUAUUUUUUUCAAAAUUAAAAAUAAUGAACACACGUUCAUACAUAAAGCUUUUUAACAACCUAAAGUGCUUUAGGGGUCUGCAAGCCCUUUAAGAAUAGGGGGAAAAUAUUGAUGUAAGACAUAUUGAAACAGGCCAACUUACCAUCCUCAUACUGCCGGGUCUUUACAUAUUUAUAAGGUUCAUCUAUGCACCAAAACAACUUGAACUUAAUGAAGCAGUUUUGAUAUAUAGGUCAUACCAUUGCAAUCUCACUUCUCAUAUCUCUGUCAUUUAGUAGUUAAAUCCAUGUUGUUUCUCUUUAUGCAGCCCUAGUCAUACCUCCCCUGACUGUGACUUACACAGCCUCCAUUAAAAAAAAGGUUUACAUUUUUAUCAGAUCUUACUGCACAGUGUGUUUAUUUUAGAAAUUCUUAUCUCCUGCUCUGUUAACCUUAACUUGCUAAAAUGCUUUACUUGGGAAGAGGAUCCCCUCUUUUUUUAUAUUUCAAAAAGUGCAGAUUUCCUUAUAAAUUAUCCUUCUCACACUCCCCUGGCUGUCAAGCAGCCAACAGGGCUUGUUACUUCCUGGUUGUGAUUAUCUCAGUAGAGCUAAACUCAAAAGACAGGGAAUCAACCAGAGCAAUUGCCUUGCAAAGACUUCUCACUGAGCUACAUUGGGAAAUCUGUGAUUGGACAGCCACAGAAAUUCUGGGCUGAGUUAGAGGGGGGUGGGGGGGGUAGAGGGCUUGCAAAGUCUGCAGACAUUAAUGCAUUUGAUAGAUAUUGCUGUAUUUUUUGCAUGAUCAAAUCAUUAUAGUUUUUGCACACAAAAAAAUAAAUGUUUUGCAGAAUGCUGUACCAUAAGCCAACCUCCUUAGCCCACCCCCUCAUGCCAGAAAGAAUUUCCUUAUCAGAACUAUGUACAUUGAGUGAGCUGUUUAUAAUUCACAAUCUGGCUGCAGACAGAGAAAGUUUAAACAGGUAAUGAUAUCUUUACUAUAUGUCUACCUGGGUGUCCUUUCCUUCUAAUACAAGUUGCGUUGUAGUUCAGGUCAUUCAGUGCUGUUAGUGGCUGAGCUGUGUACAUACCUUUGAUAAUGAAGUAUUUUUCAGGCAUGAAGGGCAUGGGUUAUGCUGCAGCAUUCUGCAAAACAUGUAUUUAUUUCAUGCAAAAGCUAUACAAAUUUGAACAUGCAAAAUACAGCAUAUAAAGCGUAUUAAUGAGGCCAAACCUAUCGAAUGCAUUUACAUAGUAUUGGUGCCAGAGUGACCCUUUAAUUAAAGCUUGUUGACUUUUUGCAGGCCAGUUAUCAACCAUCAGUGUCUGCUCCUGGUGGAAAAGGCAUGGACAGGUCAGCAGUCAACAUUGAGCUGCAAGUGGUCAAACUCUAACAGGGUUAAGUACAAAAGUUAAAAUUCAAAAUUAAUUUCAAUGCUUCCAUUUUGGCUUCUGCUUUGGCCUGAAAUUUUAGUUUUUAUCUGAAUUCACUGUGCAUUCUUGCUUUAGUGAAUAACUGUUACAAUUAAAUAUAUGAAUUUUAAACUUAGCCAAAACAGAUGUGGCCACCUUUGUACUCCCUAAAUGGAUCUGUGGUGCAGUACUGGUAAAAAGUGAUUACUCAGACUUUUGUCUGCUGUGACAGCAGAGUAAAUUGCCCCCCUAUUCCCAUAUAGCCAUACUUAGCGAUUUAGGUUAACAAUUAAAGACCAUGCAGAUGUUUUGCUACUUCUUCAUGCUGCUAGCAUCCCCUAAAAAAAUCAUGAGCAAGGUUUAUCCUACUUGACUGGUCCAUUAUUUGUACCACUUUAUCAUGAAAACAAAAUAUUUGUAUUUUCAUUGAAUAUGGGUUACUGGAUUAUUUUAUGUGUACUUUUGCAUCAACUUUACGGUUUGUCAGGACAAGGAUUCGUGCAGUCUUGGAGCUCUCAAUGGUAGGUGUCCACAUCUAGAAGGUUUUCUUUUCUUCUCUCAAUAAAAAGAUGAUAGCAUUGAAGUGAUGAAGUGAUUGCGGAGGUUGGAUAACUAAAAGCAAAACUUGCUCCUGUGCAACUAAUAGCACAAUAACACUGUACAGAAAAUGAAAACACAUUUCUUUUUUUUUUCUUUUUUUGACUUGGAGUCUUUCUUUGUUUGAAAACAUAACAUAAGUAUAAAGAGAAGAUCACAGCACAAUCAAAACAACUUUCUAUAAGCGGAUGAACUCGGUCAGAUAUACAAAAGAUUUCUUAUAAGUUCAAUAUUUGCAGUGUACUUAAUAGUAUAUUAUAUUAGUACAUUGAUGUACAAAGUUGGCUCAACGAAACAAAACCUAUGACCAAUUGUUGUUGAAAAGAUAACUUUUUUUUUCCCUUUCAUAUAGAUAAACUCCAAUCUAGACAAAUAUAUAAGGCAAAAAUACAUAUACUUACAGAGAAAAGUGAGAGUAAUAUCUGCUAACAAAGGACAACAAAAAAAUCUUGGAAGGAGCAGUGCCCACACAAUUAUUCAUUACAUUCCUUAGCACACGUGCUACCAUGGGAUUUACAAAAAAUGGCUUCUGGGUUUUUUGGUGUUCUGAAAAAUAAGGUGUUCUGAAAAAUUAUCUCUAAACUAAUUUUCCUGGCUGUAUGCACAGCUAGAACAGUUCUGAAAACAAAUAUAUAUAUAUAUAUAUAUAUAUAUAUAUAUUUCUAAAGAGGAAUGAAACACAAAAAUAAUUUACAAAAUAUUGUGAUUUAUUGCAACAUACCCAGUAUUAGACUUCCCUAUAUGUAGUCACAUUAUCCUCACAUUGCCACACACACAGACAGAUGUGGUACAUGCAUAUACUACAACAUAUUUGGUUAUUAUUGUGUGCUUCAUUUCAAUCUGUCCUAGUCUAUCAUAGCAGUGUCUCUAGGUCCCCCCCCCCACCCCAUGCCAGGCUCUAGGGAGUUGAAGGGGUUAAAUUUAGCUCUUUUUCCAGCGCCGGGUGGGGGACUCUCCUCCUCCUCGUCAUCGGCUGAAUGCACAUGCGCGGCACGAGCCACGCGCACAUUCAGCCAGUCCAUGGGAAAGCAUUCUCUAUGGCUUCUGGCAUCUUCUCACUGUGAGAAAUCACAGUGAGAAGCGAGGAAGCGCCUCUAGCGGCUGUCAAUGAGACAGCCACUAGAGGCUUGACUAAACUGAAACUGCUAUGUUUAUAGAAGAAAGGGUUAACCCUAGCUGGACCAGGCACCCAGACCACUUCAUUAAGCUGAAAUGGUCUGGGUGCCUAUAGUGGUCCUUUAACAUAAAUAUCUAUAUGAAAAUGCACACGCAGAAAAUUUUAGAUUGCCAAUUAUAGAGACGUCUGGGUUAUGGCUAUAAUUAGCGUUUCAAUGGCAGUUUGGAACAAAUGAUAAUUAAAAUCACUGACCCCUCUUGAAUCAAAUCUGUUUUUUGACCACAUAUUUAUAUAUAUAUAUAUUUUUUAUUAAGUGGACUUUUUUUAUUACAAUUUUAUGUAUACAUGGGAUCAGCCAAGAAGGGGUUGAUGAACUAUAAAUAACCAUGCCUGACUUAUUCACAAUUGAUAGAUUUAUUUUCCAAACCAUGAAUUAUCAGAUAUCCCCAGAGAAUCACAUAUUUAACUGCAAAAUAACUUGGAUGGAUGCAUAGGCAACUUGGAUAAUGUUUCCAAUUCAUUUACCCUGGCCAUAAUGUUAGAGCUCUCUGGUAAAUUUCUGAUAAUGCACCAUUAACAAAUGAUUUUUUUUUUUUACUGGUGAUAUAGGGCUGUGUGAGCACGAACUGUUUCUGCUUAGGGUUUCACCAUCACACAUUCAUGGCUUCAAUCCCUAAAGCCAAACCACCACCCAGCUACACCACCGACUAGGUAUAUUAAUUUGAAAAACAACUUAAAUAUGAUUAUUCAUAUGAUAUUAAUGUAUACAAAUUACAUUUAAAAUUUCUCAUUAUAAAAAUUCAACAUUUUUCAUUUAAACAAUCAAAAUCAAAUAAAUUAAAAUAAUUAAAUAAAUAAUUCCAAGCUAAAUUUUACCCAGAAGUGCAAUGGUUGAAAGGUAACAUUAUUUACAUAUUAGGGCAUUUGAUCUUCUAAUUUUACAUGCAUCAAUGCUUAUUUUGGAAAAGAGCUGUAAGUGGCAAUUAAAACAUUUUUGCAGCUGCAGGAUUUUUCAAAAAUAUAUAUUUAUGAAGUUGAACUCUUAUUUCUGAAAGGCAAAUAAAAAAUCUUGUCUGUUCAUUGCCAAGAAUCUUUCCCCUGGCAUGAAAUCACCAAAGUCUGCGGAGUCUGAAAGGUGAAAUAUUUUUUCUUUUAUCUGACACAUGUAAUAAUAUUCUGUGACCAAGUUUUUUUCCAAAAUGAAAUAGAGGGAUAUACGCUUGCCUCUGUAAAACACUCUUAAAUUAUUUGAGUUCAAGACUUAAAGCAGUGUUUUUUACAGAAAUAUUCUAUAAGUAUUUAUACAAUAGUUGCCAAGAGCUCUUCACCAUGAAGUAGGUAAUUUGCAAACAUGGUACAGCAAGAUUAACCCCUUCACUAAAAAAAUCAUAGCUUUACAUUUAUUAAAAAUGCAAUGGAUGGCCGGUAUAUAAAUCUAGGAUAAAUUGCAGAUUUGUGUACAUUGUUGUUCGGGGAUAAACGCAUAACAUAGUUGAAAGUUGGGCUUACUUUCAUGACAAAUCCUUCUGUAAACAAAGUGCAGUUUGGAACUAUGCCACCACAAUAUAAAAAUAAUAUUUGUAUAUCAGUGUAAUUCCCACAUACAUGAAGUAGAGUUGCACCUCUGAUUUCACAGACUGCUUUUACAAUAAGCAAAAUAUCUCUGCAUUACACUCAGAGUUCACUCUAUGUUUCCUUUCCUCUUUGGUUGCUAUAAUGCAGCUAUGAAGUUUAACCUACAAAGACCACUGUGCUGUUCGGGAGGAUGAGCUGUAUAAAGAAUCAUUGCACAUUAUUCUUAUUUCUUCAUAAGGUGGUAGCAUACACUGGAGGAAAUAGGAAGGUAAGUGGGAUUUGAUUGGCUAAUUUCACAGAGUUUGGUGGGAAGAAUUCAAGUACCUCUGGAGCCUAGGAAUGGUCUGUAUCCAAGAACAUACACCCUAACCAAACACCUGGAGAACUAAGUGUACCUCUGGCCUGCAGCAGGCACAGAAAAAGUAACACAAUUUUUAUGUUAAAUGUACUAAUAGAGUCCAAGGGAUAUUUGAGUAAAAUAAUAUUUUGAACAGGAAAUAAAAUCCAUUCGGUGGGAGAAUUUCAUUUCUAAAUAUAGCAUUUGGCUAGAAUACAACGGAAAAGGCAGUUGCGAAUGAUGAAGUAGUAUCUUUUUGCUAGUUUUUAUCAAGGUAAUUGCCUUUCUGCUUGCAUACAUACCAAGUGUCCCAGUACCACCCACACAAAUCCAGCAGUAGUUGCAGUCAUUGUUGUUAAUGUCCUUUUAUUCUUCCAUAGAUGUGACUAAUAACUCCCAAAAAAUCACAGAGCAAAUGCUUUCUGUGAUUGCAGUAAUAGACGCCUUUUCUGGAAAUGUUUAUAUUUUUCACUGUUAGGAUCACUGCAGUCGAUGCUGCACUGAAUAUCUAAAGAGCUUAAUGCUGUCCAACUGUAAAAAAUAAAUUGCCCUCAAAACGUUCUGUUGAUGAAUGCUGAUUAAAACAUGCAUCUCACUUUGACAUAAAAUUCUGUUAGUACCUGGGGUGAGCCAUACAUUUUUCAAUUUAUAAAUCUGGACCAUGUUCCUGAAGUGAUAAAACUGCCCAUCUUUUGUAUUCUGCAAAUUGGCCUUCAAGCACUUUAAGUUCCUUUGUCAUUAUUUGUGAGACUAUUGCAUUCUGUUACUUGUUGUCCUUUAACUAUAUUUUGAGUCUAGAAAAGUCCUUGUGCAUUUCUGUUCCCUGACAGCCUGUAAGGAUUUUUUUUAUCUUCACUGAAUUCGAAAUUAUAUUUUACAGCAUGCAAAGGAAUAAACAGACAGAGAUAUUUUUAUAAAAAAAAGUUUUGAUUAUUUUGGAGCGUAUGCACUGAUUUUAGACUUGAGAUUGCUCUUUUUUUAAUUAAUACAAAAAAGCAAAAACAAAGCACUCUAUUGAAUUUACAAUAUAUAAAAAAACAAACAAAAAAACAACAACCUUAAAACAAAUGGUAGUAUGGGAGAACGUAUUUUGUCCAAUACCAACUCGUCAUUGUUUUCAUUGUCAUACAUUGUUUAUUUUCCGAUCCUUAUUGUUAACCCACAUAUUGAACCAAACAUAAGGGCAAACAGUCAAUACUUUAUAAUAGAAAAUGCAAUUUUGUAUUCCCUGCCAUAUGUAACAUAAUGUGUGAUAUAGCAUGAUUGAAUGACUCACUGAUGAAAGCAACCUGUGAAAGGAUGGCUGACUUUAUCAAUAAUGCUAAAUGGUGACAUAUUGUCUUAUAUAACCUAAUAAGGGAAACAUCAAUAUAAGUUUCCAAGGUAAAUAAAUGAGGAGGGGAUCAAUUAAUUCUCUUUGUGAGCUAUUCUAGGGUGUUAAUAUUGACUUGUUAGCACAUUGUUAUGUGAUUGUGUUCAGGGUCCUAUGAGAUUACAUCUGUUUAGCAGGAUUGUGUCCAACAUCUAGUCUUUGAGAAUAGAUUCCCAUGUUUAUUAAUCUACACGCUGGGUUAUUUUGUGGUCCACAAACAUGUUUAUUUAAAAAAAAAACAACGCAUUACCGUGCAAUGCAUUAGAGUGGUGCAUGAUUUGCAGCAUAUGUGCAUAUUAUAUGGUUGCUGUAAAUAAAUUAUAAUGUAUAAAAAUAUGUAGUUUUUGUCUUUUAAAAUAAAAUACAAUCAGGUUAAAUGUAACUUUGACUAUUUUAGUUUUUAUGGUAAUGUACGAUAUUACUGUCAAGAUUCCUACUAUUAUUUAGAAUGUAAGCACGUUUGAGCAUGGCCCUCAACACCCUCUGUACCUGUGCGUCCAACUCGUCUUGUUACUAAUACUUUUCUGAAAGGCCAUCCAUUGUACAGCGCUGUGGAAUUUGUUGGCUCUUUAUAAAUAAUAACUAUAUUUUCGCUGUACUAAGCAUGAGAUGAUAUUUGAAGGGGAUCAUCUUGUUCCAGAAAUGUCUUUAUAUUAUGUUUAUUUAUCCUUAUAUUUCGCAAAUAAGUGUUUGUGAGAUCUGAAAAAAAUUAAUAUAUGGAGAAAUUUGCAGUGCUGCAUUUAUCUCAGUCGUAGAACUGGCUGCCUCCAUCUUGGCUCAAUGUUGAUCAUUGUUAUAAGGUCCGCCCUUUGUACCUGUCAGACACCAUAGAGAGAGUAGAGUAAGGAUGAGAAACAGAACUAAUGUUUCUGCUUUUGCUUUUACUUGGUACUGUGUCCCAGGACUGAAUUGGAUUUCAAUGUCAAUUAAAACAUCUUUCAUGUGACAUGUUAAAAGAGCUAAACUGGCUGUGGCUGGAAUCCCGACACACCCUUCAUCUUUCCAGCCUUGUGCAUAAGAGCGUUUCUGGGAAGCUCCCACCCUACCUGAGGAGAAUGCUCUCCCCAGCUGUUCCCACCUCCUAUAACCUCUGAUCCAGUACGAGCAUGAUAUUUAGCAAUACAAAAAUAAAGUGGCACAAUCAUCAUUUUCCUACAGAGCACGGCAAAUUUGGAAUAACCUCAGGGACACAGUCAAAUCUUCAUUCAAUCUAAAAUCUUUUAAGAGAUCUAUGGUAAUAUACCUCAGCACAGAAUGCACCUGUCAUGGUUGAAUAUAUUUAUUACCUGUUAUGUAUUGAAUUUAUAUAUGUGUGUAUGUAUAUAAAUAUAUAUAUAUAUACUUUGUAUAUUGUAUUUUUUUUUUAUAUAUUGUACCCUAUUGUAACAAUGCAAUGUUUUGUGGACACAGGACAUACUUGAAAAUGUGAGAAAUCUCAAUGUAUCAAUCCUGGUAAAAUAUUAUAUAAAUAAAUAAAUAUACAUUUAAAUGAAAAUGGAAAAUCAGUGGGCAACAAUAAUGGGAUUUUGUACAAUUGUGCACUUCCUCGAGAAGUGUUGGUUCUAAUUUAAUAUUGAUGAAUGGGGGGCCUAACGCCCAAAUCCUUUAUGAUAGAUAGAUAGAUAGAUAGAUAGAGAUAGAUAGAUAGAAAGAUAGAUAGAUAGAUAGAUCGAUAGAUAGAUAGAUUUAUGAAUGUAUGCAUGUGAGUGUGUAUGUGUUUGCGUGUGUGUGUGUAUAUAUAAUUUAGCAUGAGGACUAAUAAUAAGUGUAGGAGCCCCUAAGGCCAAAAUAAUUAUAUUAACUUUGCAUCCUCAUCUUUGAUUAUCUACAUCUUUAUUGGCUAUUUGGAAAAAAUUGCUUGUUCUAUGAACCUCCAUACCCUACAGGUCAUGUGACAGUGCACCCAUGCUCCCCCUGCUCGCUGUAAUAUUAACCCACACUUCACCAUAAUUAUAUUGGCCAUGGAAAAAACAGGCAUAAUUUGUUGAUCUUCCUAUAAAAAAAAGGUAGUGAAGUGGUUAAUCUCAGCUAAUACUGAUUCCCUUGAAAUUGUAUUUUUUACUUUAAUAAUUGCAAAAAAUGUUCUAAUUUGAAAUUGUAGUACAACACUUAUGCUACAAUAAUAAAUAUUUAAUGUCCAUCUAUUACAAGCUGGUGAUGUGUUCUGCAGCUAACAGAUACAUUGUAGGCUGUGUUAUAAAAAAGGCUUGCAUUGUCGCUGAGGAAAAUGCUGAUGAUGCUGUGAGUACAUGCUGGGCUUUAAGACACCUUAUGGCGGAUUCAGGUGAGCUUUUAAGACAUGCUUAGCUUGAAAUGAUUUAGAAAAUCUUGACUUUAGCCUGACCUGACUCAGGUUUUAAAUCAUGGUGGAAGAAGAUUUAAUAGGAUUGGUACUCAGAUUGCAUGUAAUAUGCUGGACAAGUUAUACAAUAAAUUAACCCAUGGCAAACCCCAUAACAACUACAAAGAAAACAAUUUAUUCUCAAUAAUAUAUUUCUAUUUCCAUUAUCAAACCUUUUUUUGUGGCAAUUCAUUUUACAGUCAAGUACAAAAUACCCCAAAAGCUUUUUUUGUAAGAUCCAUAAAAGAAAUAGUCAAGAAAGUAAUCUAUAGAAUAUAACAAUAUUCUGUAUGGAUCUAUAUGACUAUUAGUGAUAACUGUCCUCCCUCUGCUUUGACACUAAUUAUAACCCCAAUUAUUUAGGUAUGUCUGAAUAUAUCACAGAGCUCCACAGAAAUAAAACUCAGAGUAAUGUGUGGUGUGUGUAUGAGUGAAUCACAAAGCUCCACAGCAAUAAAACUCCCCGUAAUGUGUGGUAUUUAUGAUAGAACCUGGAAUUAGUAUAAAUGGCUCAUUCAAGUAAUAGGAUGCUGCCAAGAAUGCUGUGAUAAACUGUUGCCACUAAUUGUUACGAUGUUGAGGGAUAUAAUGGAGAUGUAGAUCCAUUUGGUUUUUCUGCACGGUGAAAGUCAAAAGUCAAAUAUAUCUCUGGGGAACAUAUUGCAAACCAAAGGGAUUAAUAGGUAAUAGGAGUAGGUGAUGUGUAGAGUCCCACAAGGGGAAACCAACAUCAGGAGAGCUCCACUGUAUAAGAAAUGAGGAAGGGAGGCCCUACCUUUAAUUAAUCUAAGGAUAAAAAGGGAUAUGCAAACAAAAAGUAUAACUUGAAAAAAGGGGAGAUCUACUAAACGGUGCCCAGGGGAUCAAUUGUCUGGAGUACUAGCUUGCAUCUAAGUUCCAGUUCCCCUAGUGUCCGACUGACAGGAAGGUAGUGUAAACGAGGUUAGGGAGAGAGAAGAGGCAUAGGGUCCCCAGAGAACAAGGAACCGGGUAAUCAGGUCUAAACGCAGAUGAAAAGCCUCACACAAAAAAUAAAUAAUUAAAUAAAUCUCUCAAUUCACCCUAAGAGUUACCUCAACACCAUGGUCUAACCACUAGUAUAUAUUGUCUACCUGAACCAACUCUCCCUACUAAAGUUAUAAAUAAAUAAAUAAACACCUAAAAAAUAAGUGGUAACAAAAAUAAAAAAGUGCUACCAAGUGCAGAGAUUAAAGAAAAAGAAAACGCUUGACGCGCGUUUCAGCGUGUUUAAAACGCCGUCGUCAGGAGCCAAAGGGAUUAAUAAUACAUCACUGCAAAUCAGAAAAUUCACCAUGUUUUUAUAUCUAAAUAGCUUAUUCAAUAAAUAUCGAGCAGUAAUGUUUGUAUUUUGCCUAAUCUAAGCUACAUUUAAACAUUUUUAAAUCUCAACUAAUUUUGCCUGCAUUGUAUAAUUUAAUGAGUAAACUCUAAUUUAUUAAACGUUUAUAACCACUUUAAUAAAAAUAUUGAUUAAUCAUCAUUCAAAAACUAUUGCGUUUGAUACAAUACAUACUUUCUUCAUUUAUUCACAGCUCGUUUUUGUCCACUCUUUCCCUGUUGAUAGGCUCCAGCUAAACCCAGGAGAAGGAAAAUAAUGAAACUCUCUGCCGAGUAGACCUUGCAUGGACAACUAUGUGAUGAAUGCCAAUAAUCUCUACAAUUCAUGCUGCAGGGCUGUUUCAGUGAUGGAUAAUAAAUCUAAAAAAAAAAUCUAUAUACUUUUGGUUUGUCAGUAUCAUUUUCCUGAAUAUUUUCAAUGGACGAUAUUUGGAUGAGCCAAACCACCACACGGACGACAAUCGGACUUUCUGACUAUUAAGCAUCGGUUUGCGUUUUCUUUUUAUCCGCUUGUACAAACACCAUUGUCAAAAAACGUUCAAGACCUUCUGGAUUUAAUAUGAUCCUCAACAGAAAAUGCCUGAAUUAGUCACAAGAACUAUUUACAAUGAAAAUGUUAAUUUCUUAAUAGGCAAUUAAAAUAAUUUACAAAUAUGUGUUGUUUUUAGUUUAGAACUCCAGCUAUCAUGUAAAGUUUAAUGCAAUUCUAAUUAAACUAAGCGUGCUAAACAAACAAAUAAUUUUCAUCUGUUACAGUUAAUUAAAUGACAAAAAGAGAAAAAAUAAGCAUAAAUAGCUAAAUCCAGAGUAGUAAAAUCAAGAUCCCUAUAGUGAUUUCAACACUCGUACAUAUCACUAAUGAAAGAAAACAGUUGAGAACAAAAAAGGCUUAUUAAAAGGUUUAAUUUGCUGUGACAAUGGUGUCUGCAGGCUCCUAGUUUCAGCUGUCCCCAAUUAUUGUGUUAUGGUUCUUUUUUUAUAAACCCCACACGGUCAUAACCUUGUAUGAAAUACUCUCAGUACAAAGAUUAUGCCAGUUUGAACUUCCAUUUUCUCGUUUCCAAACAAACUUAAUGUGAUAGAUCUUAGAUAUUCCACACUACAUUCGCCACCGCACAUUUUAUCCCCUGAGCUGCAAAUGCAUAUAUUACAUAUAUUUAUAUAUAAAAAUUAAAAAUUUCAUCUGGAAUCUGUAUGAGAACUAGAUUUAGAAUUUAAAAUGUCAAACGUAUUUUUAGAAGCAACAAUGAAACUCGAUUAUGUCAUUUGGACCAAGCAGAGGGAAGAACAUAAACUGAUAAAGGUUUGUGUCCUUUUUCAUAUAUGGAAAACACAGUAAGAAAAUAAUUAUCACUCGACUUGUAUAGAUCAUCUGGCAGUGUGCAGAAAGGGUGCUCAUCAAGGUAUGCUCACCACAUAACAAGCAAUGUUUCAUUUGUUUUAAAGAUACAGGUUAUUUACUAAAUUGAGGAAUCAAGGUGAAUUCAAAGUGAAUUUCAAAUUUAAGGUCAAAAUAGAUGAUCUGGAAAAAUUCUCUAAGUCAAAUGUGCUUCCAAUUCAGCAACUUUGCCCCUAAAUUUUAAAUUCACUUUAAAUUCACUUUAAAUUCACAUUGACUUCCCACUGUAACGAAUAACCCUGACAAUUUGCACGAGCUUCCCUAUUUAGCUGACAAAAACCCCUGCUUAUAAUACAAUGUCUUUUUAUGGCCGAGUGCGACUUUUACCAUACUAUGGGUUUCUCAAUAAGUGCAUAUAUCUUAUCUGUUUUAAUUACCGAUAGAAAAAAAUGUUCCUAACUCACUAUUUUUGUGGAGGAACUGGACUUUCCCAUAUUGUGAGAAAAUAGAUUGUAUUCCAGGUCCAUCACAAUCCUUUCCAUCCCAAACCCAGGCAAGCAUUGGGUUACCAUACCAAUGUUUAACAAUAGCAUCGGUCCAGGAAUCCAUACAGUCUUGCUGCAUCAUGUAUAUUUCCAAAUGGAUUCUCCCAAUUUUAAGGACACUACUUUGAGAAUAAUAUCCUUAUUCACAGGGUAAAAUGCUGGUUAUGUGAGUAACACCAGGUUCCAAAAAACCAUGACCAUGCAAACACGACUUCCUCUUCCAUGCCUCUAAUUCUUCAGCACAGCGUAGAGCGAUUUUUUUUCAGAAGAACCCAUGUUUGUUGACAAUUUCGUGAAUCAAUACAACAGUUAGGAUUAUUUGCUUAAGUAAGAAUUCAAUGUGAAUCAAAAGUGAAUUUUAAGUUUAAGAGUAACUGAACGGAAAUCAUAGUCGACUUAGAGAAUUUGUCCAGUUUGGCUCUUUUGAUUUUCAAUUUAAAUUUACUUUGAAAUCUUACCUUAGUGAAUAACUGAGUAUUUUUUGAAAAAUAUAUUUCAAUUUAACCCCUUAAGGACACAUGACGGAAAUAUUCCGUCAUGAUUCCCUUUUAUUUCUGAAACUGUGUCCUUAAUUUACUGUUCUGAAUGUAAACAAGCAUUACCUCUGUAUUUACCUUUCAUUUUUUUAAUAGUAAUAUUUAACAUUCUCCGUUCUUUCUACCUUAACCUGGGCAGAUUAAAUCUCCCUGAAUUGUGUAAAAUAUGUCCACCUUCUCAAUGAUCCCAAAUAUGAAAUAUGUGAAAUAUUUAAAUUGCCUUCUGCUAUCGGGCAAAAGGGUGAUUUAUAACAACAUAAUGUGCUAUUAAGGGGUAAAUUGCUAAAUAAGAACCAGUCACCAUACAGACCAAUAGAAUGUUUCUCAGCAUUUAGUACUUUAUAUAGAGAAUAGUAGCUGUUUUUGCCUAAUAGUUUUAUAAUAUAUGCAUCUUUUUUGUUUCUGUUUAAAGCAUCUUCCCUGAGCAAUUUAUCUUCUCAUUCUAUUUAUUGCCCAGGGUAAAUGAUGCCUCUCACCAAUUUAAGGCAUUUAACAUCCCUAUACUCACAAAACGUCAAAAAGCAGAGGCACAUUCAUAAAAUUAAAGUUGUUUAAUGGAAAUUUGACAAUCAGUUCAUAUAGAUGAAAAUGUCUUAUUUAAAAUUCUCUUAUAAUAUCUUCUUCUGAGGUUUAAAAAAAAAAAAACGUAAAAAAUAUGCACAAGAUGUUCUCAUUAAUUUGUACCAAAUUUCUGGAACAAAUAUAUCUGAAUUUUGCUACUUAAUUGCAGUAUACAGAAUGAGUAAUCAAUAACUGUCCCCCUUUCAGAUGGAGCCACAUAGGGUUAUUCAUGAAACCAUAAAUUGUCUAGAAUUAGUUCUGCUACUGCGAGUUUAAGGCCAAAACAAAUGCACUGGAAACAUAUCUGACUCUGUAAAUCUCUCAAUUAGUCUCUUUUGACCUAAACUUUUCAAUUCCUGUCAAAUUCAAGACAAUUACUGCUUUAGUUUAUAACCCUAAAUAUGGAUUAAGGAAACCAUAUAUUAUCAUUUAAAAGACCAUAAUAUAUAUCUUCUAUAUUUGAUUUAUAUUUCUAAUCGUAGCAGAUGGCCCUUUGAACUCAUACUGGAUGGAAGUCACAUAUUGUUCCAUAUAUUUGAAAACCAAAUGUUUUUAAUUGCUGCAUAUUUUAUUUUUUAUUAAAAGUGUCUUUUGUUUUGAAAUUACACAGUUUCAAAGAUAUUUUGUGAAAGAGGGUAAUUAUACCCUUUUUUGAUUUUGUUUUAAGCUUCUGAGGCUUUGUACAAGGUUAUGUUGAUCAAUUACAAUAAAUGCACAAGGUCAAUCCAGGGAGUAAUUAACCUUCCAUUUUGAUAGCACAACUGACAAUAGAGCCACGUUGUACACACAAUAAAUAAUUUAAUAGUGAAUAUAUCUGUAAAAUUAUGCUGUAGAGACAGACAUACUGAUAGUCUCUUAUUCUUUAUAAAGUAUAUUAUUUAGAUAUAUGUAGACAUGAUAGAUAGAUAGACAGACAGACAGACACUGUAUGAUGGACGGGCAAUGGAUAGACAGACUGAUAUAUUUUGGCUACCAUCUUAUACUGUACAUAUAAGAUUUUUUGACUUUUUUAAAGGAAGUAUGUAGAGGAGCAAUGGGAGUCUCAGCCAUGGGAGGUGUGGUUAGGGUUGCAUAAACAAAGUGAUUUAAUGCAUAAAUCGCAGACAAUUGAGCAGUGAGACUGCAAGGACACGAUCUAUACACCAAAACUGUUUCAUUACGCUAAAGAUAAUAUGUACUUACAAAAAAAUGUUACAAAAUACUAAGAUAAACGGAAGGAAUACUAAGAUAAACGGAAGGAAAUGGAAGAAAAAAUGAGAUCUGGAUCAACAGGAGCCAUAAUGUCUUUUAGGAUGACUGCCAAAGUAACAAACUAUUCAUCAACAGGGUUAUAUCCUAAUAUGAGGACUCAAAGUGAAUUCUAACUGAAUUUGAAAUUUAAGGCCAUUGCAGCUGAACUGAAAGCAUGUUUCAAGUCUAACUUAUUUGACCUUAAACUUGAAAUUCACUUUAGAUUCUCACUUAGUAAAUAACACUGCUAGCAUUAUUACAUAGAUAUGCAUUAUAUGCAGGUUAACAAAUAUAAAAAGCAUAGUUAAUAUAGUGAAUUAUAUGUAUUGCAAAGCAGUGGUUAUCAUAAGGCCAUUGUAGCAUGUACUUACAGCGUAAUAUGUCAGAACGUGACAGCUACCAGGUGGCUUGGUGCGAUAAGAUGCAGUGAUGGAUAAUCAACAAAGUUUACAUGAUACAAGUAUAGUAAAUAGGAUAAUAUUAUUGUAUAUCUAUUGGAGCAUUCUUGGUCUCCAAUCAAUAAUAUACCAGAAAUGAUAUAAAUCUGGAGCAUCUCCUAUAAGAAGUUGCACCAUAUAUUGUUUAGAUUGAGAAGGACCAGAUAAAGAUCACAAGAAAACAGGUUUUAUGAUAUUGAAGUCUAAAGAUCUAAACAUGUAGUCAAUCUCUGCCUUCCUAACAAUUUCAUAGGUAAUCAGAAAGUCUUUUAUAUUGACUACCAGAAACAUUCCUUUCAUAAUCUGAUUACACUGUGUCUGUUUAGAAAGAAAUGUUCUACCGUUGGUGUCCAUGAUAAAUGGAAAUUGAACAAUUCAUAUUCAAGGCAUUCUGAUUCUCUGAAUAACUUUAGAUAUUGAUAUUUCCGACAGAACCGGUAUGAUUUUCAACUCAUGGUCUUAAAAAGAUUCUCCAAAUACAGUAACCACUGCAGCUUAUUGUAAUGGCUAUGACACAACAAAUCUAUGGAAGCUGUCCAUCCAGUUUCAAGCAGUUUUCAAGAAUUGUGUUAAAAACAAAAGGUUUGCCAGUGCCAAUAGCCCAGAUUCUCUGCCGGGAACCUUCAAUAUUUGUCUAUAAUAUGUGCACAAAGUAAACAGGGUUUGUAUUUAAAUCACUGACGAACAUUUUGCGGACACAGAAUUAACACCGGCUCCUGGGGGGUUAAUGGUAAAUUGGCUUGUAAGACGAGUUAAUUGAAAUUUGAUGCAGCUGAAUCUUGCUUAUACAAAGCAAAUAGUUUUGGGCAAAUAUGGAGGCAAUUAAACAUCCUCAUGUCAACAUGCCAGGCAGAGAGUGUAAGGUUUGGGUGCAAUGGGAUCCACUGUAUUUUUGUCAAACCAUUUUGUCUUUUGGCAACAUCAAUAUGGACUUUAUUUAUAGCUUUCUAAUACCUUAUUCUCUAACCUAAGCCAUAGAGCUCUAGUGAGCAUGUUUCUUGGGACAUCUUUCUUAAAAGCAAGAUCAAAAUGACUCUUGUUUUUAUUGUUUUUCUAUUUUAUAUACUAACAAUAAUAAAAUAUUUUAUUUAGCUGUAUUCAACGGACCAACCUGAAUAAGGCAGCUAAUGGACAAAUGUUAUCUCAGAAUUAUGUUUCUAUAUAAUAAUCCUUUCAUCAAGGCAAUUGAUUUUUUACAAUAAUGUAUAUGUAACAAAUGAGGAAAAAAACAACUAAUUCCUACUUAUGACGGGAUCCUUAAGCCAUAAAUGUGUUGCUUUGGUCAGACGAUGUUUGAAAACAGUUGGUCUCUAGGGUUUUCUCUGUUUCUGUGCGGGGAGUGAAGCACGGUAGACCAUAGAGACUAACUGUUUUCAAACACUGUCUGACCCAAAGUGCAUGUUUAUGGCUCAAGGAUCCUGACAUUUACUAAAGGUAGGGAUUUGUUUUCUCUACUGUUUUUUACAUACACUUAAUUAAAAAAAAUCUGUUUCCUUUCCAAACUAUUUGAAAGGAUUAUUAUAUUAAAACAUAGUUUUGAGGUGGCUAUUGCCCUUUAGGUAGUCUAGAAAACGUGAACUCCAAAUCUAUGUAGUUUACCAACAAAGGUAUGACUUCUUUCCUGUAUUUUAACAGCUAGCACAGCACUAUAUUUUACUGAUAUCAACAAACCCUGAGCUGUGAAUUCAUCACCCAAUUCAAAACAAGAAAAUCAGCAGUGGUAUUGGCCAGCAGCUAAGGAAUCUGAUCCCGCUAAGACACUGAAUAAAAAGAGUGUGUACUGCUAACCAUCCAUGUCAAUCAAAAGACUGACUGUCGGGGAGGUGGUAGGGACACUUGACGAACACAGCAGGGGAUCGGCUUCCCAAGCAUCCUGGUAGGUAUUUUUCUCUGUUGCAGUAAGCAUGCAGUGUUAAAAUAGAACUGAGCACUGACUUUUGACACCUUCCUAAAUAGCAGAAAAUCUGUUUUAUGGGUUACCUGUGUGUUAGCUGUGCGAAAGUCUGACACAUUUUAAAUUGAUGCUUAUUCAACAACUGGAAUAAACAAUGAUGAUUAACACGUAAUGAUGUUUAUGGUUUCUAUGUAAGAUUUGUGAGUGUAUUUCCUGUCUGAAGGCGGACAUUUCUUCUUUAGAUAACAGUGUACAGUAAAGGUAAAGUAUGAAUGAACCUUUAUUUUCAGAAUUAUCUUUGAACAUGUAAAGUAGCCCAUAAACACUCAACAUUUCACUAAAUAAAACAAAAUGCUUCAAUAGGUUUCUCAUCGUUAGCCAAAUAUAUCAUAUAAUGUUUUUUUUUUUUAAGAAAAUGAAACUGAAACUCCCUUAAUGUAAAUGAUACAUUUGUGUUAGAGCAUUCAUCUAAGGAUGAAUGCAUUCUUGUAAGAUGGUUAUCAAACUGCAUAUCAUGAUAUCAAUAUAACCCAGUCAUUGUAACUGCUCUGGCUAUGACCUUUUAAUAAUUUGAAGAAGAUGAAAUGCAUGAGAACUGAACAAGGUCUGUGAUGUUAGAAUUAUUGAACUGCCUUGCAAAUACUAAUUUGUCUAAAUUGUACCAGAAGUAUAAAUAUUCUAAUUUCAACUGUUCAACUGUCGACCUAACUAGAACAAUGCAUAAACAGAAACUAUUCUACGCAGAAUAAACAUAAAAGAUUUGCCUGUUGCUACGCUUUAAGUGACCAUGUAAUUUAUGUUUAAAAACAAAAAAAUAUUUGAAUACUAUAUAUGCAUGUAUAUCAUUGAAAUAUUGAGUAUUUAUUGACAGCAAAGAUAAAAGUAAACGUAGAAUAAUUGACUACAUAGAGCUAAGAAUGCAUAAAUGCAGCUGAGCUAAAAAUACAUAAAUAUAACAUAAAAUUAAAUUUUUACAUGUUUAUGUUUAUCUUUGCUACUUUUGCUCUCCCUUUGUUCUGUUUUAUUUUUUUGCCUUUUUUUAGUUAAUUGAUGAAAACAGACCUGCUUCCACUAAAGGCUUGCUGCAUCAGCAGAUGUGUGUUUCGUGCAGAUGUUUUGUUAACUGAGAGCAAGAUUGUCUUUACUAACUUACUUUAGAGCAUUAUGUUGCUCAUUAUAUAACAUAAGGACACAUGACAUGUGUGACAUGUCAUGAUUCCCUUUUAUUCCAUAAGUUUGGUCCUUAAGGGGUUAAAGUGAAAAAUGUAAAAAAAAAAAAAAAAAAAGUAUAUAUUUAUUUUUAUUUAAGAUAGAAAUUCAAAACAAUUUAUCAUAUAUAGAAGGCCAUUUUUAACUGUACCCCUGUGUUUUUCUUCUAUGUUGAUGAAUGGAUGGAUGGAUGGACGGGAAAGACCGACAGACAGGUGGACAGGCAGAUGGAUAGAUAAUUUCAUCAUACAGUCAUAUUAUUCCUCUCUGUUGACUAGGUUUUAUGUAGAAAUGUUUUACUGUUAAAUUGUAGCAAUUUAUUAGUUCAGUAAUCUCCUUCUUGACAUUUAACUAUUCUUUUUAGUCUUUCUGAUCACAGUUUCCGUCUCUGAGCAGUUUUGCAGCCAGAGAAGGGAGAUAAUAGGUAGAUAGGAUUUAUAGCUGUCAAUAGUGGCUGAGAAGUAUUGCUUGAACAGCAACUUCUUUAAAAAGCAAUUGCUGCAUCAUUAGGCUGGAGACUCAUGUUUCACAAGCAAAAUCACACUUCUAAGGAAUGGCUUUCUUCACAUCUGUAAUUGCUAUAGAGUGAAGGUGACUGGAGUUUAUAUACACUCUAUAUUCUUAAUGAUAUAUUUUGUGCUUUAUUAAUACGUUGCUACAGAUCUUCUAUCGUAAUAUGUAGAUUUAGUGUAAAACAGUUUCUUUGUUUUGUUUUUUAAAGAUAUAUUCUAAAACGAGUUCAGGAAUUCAAAAUCUGUAUACUUUAAAUUAAUUUGGCAGCAGAAAAUAAUAGCUAGGUUUAUGAAAAUAAUGUUUACAUACAUUGAUAUAUAUAUAAACACAGUUAAACCUUGUAUAAUCACUUUUAAAAUACAUUUCAGACAUAAACCAGUUUGUAUCUCUUACACAUAUUUCUUUUUCGUUUUCUUUUUUUUAAGAGAUACAUUUCAUUCUGAGAAAAAUACUACACUACUACUAAUAGCCCAGAAUAACUGACUAAUGAAAACAUAUAUAUACGUAGCCUUGUAUGGUGUAAAAGAUCAUCAUCUAACAUUGUUCCAUUGGGAUUUAUCUAUGUAGUGUCUGCGUUAAAGAGGGAUAAAUUCAGGAAUGAAACUAGAAAGAGCAAGCGGAAUGCUUUAUAAUGCAUUGAUUGUUCCCAAAUUUAGGUUUAACUGUGUUGCUUUGCAGAGUGGGUUGAUAAAUAGUGGUCUAAAGAUUGAUGUAUAGUUGAAACCGUUCUUGAAAUGGAGACAAUUAACUCACUUUGCCGUGUAAAUCACUUUACAUUGCAAGCAUUUUAGUCUUGAUAAUUAAAAUCUAAGUCUUUUAUUGCAUAAUUGCCCCCUAGGCUUGGAUAGUUUUUGCAAUUGAAAUGCUUAAACUUUGUUUUCUGGUCGGCUCCCAUGAAGAUUAAUUGACAUCCUUAUUAGCUUUUGGAAAGUAGAAAAACAUAUUCGUUCUCAAUGUUAAAAAAUAUAUAUUAUAAUAUGUAAAGCGUUUCUCUAUUCUACAAUUUGAUAUCACUGUUUGAACAGAUAGUGUAGGCUUUAACAGAAGAUUCCAGGGUAGACUUUCUGACAAUUUACAGAAACAAAAAUUGAUUUGUGCAUUCAAUUUUAAAUCAAUUGUGAUUCUUCCAAAUUUGGCGCGUUUGGCGGCUGUAUCAAAUUCUGUAACUCUGAAACACUGUAUGGAUGAAUCACGAAACAAACAAACUGGGCAGUGGAUGAACAGUCCACAACACAAAAAAAAGAAGAUUGAUUGUUGGGGACAGUUACUAAAUGGUGACUUUAUUCACAGAUCAGAUGAGAAGUGACACAUGGAGUGAAAGAAAAACAUUUUUGUUUCUUACUUUUUCACCUUUUUUCCCCUCUAUUGGCUACGUCUUCUCACUUGAUCUGUGAACAUUUGCCUAUAUAUGCACAAUACUUAUAUUAUAAAUAUAUUUUACAGUACAAUAUUUGGCCCAUUUUAUGCCCUUUUGCUUAAUUUGUUCCUGAAACCAUUAAAUGGGUGAAAUUCUUCCAAACCAAAACACCACAUGGGCGAAUCCCAACUUGACUGACAAAAUUGUAUUAAUAUAUUUUUGGGGGCUAAUUGAUUCAUUUUUUUUUUUGCCAUGCGCAAGUCUAGAAAACAUGCAUUAAACAUAAAAAACUGUUGUUUGCUAAAGGUCCAAAUCACAGAGCUAAGAUUGUCGUCUUGAAAUCUCUCUGUUAUAUAGGAUCUUUCUCCAGUAAAGUGACUGAGUAUGGUUACAUGUAUAGUGCCAAACAUGCAAUAAUAGUCAUUUUUCAACUCAAUGAUUAACAACAGCCUGCCUCAGAACCACCUUUACUAUUGCCUGUUUACUUGUUAAACAUUAGAUGUACUAUUUUCCAAGUAAAUGAAAUUGGCAUUGGCAAAACAAAUUGAAACAUGACACCAGGUCUAAUUUACUUAUAAUAAGGUAAAUAAUUUCACAUAAUUUGGAGAGAAGAAACUUGUUACACACACAACUCUUUUACAGAUAUGAUUGAGGACACUUUGAUAAAGUUAGAGGUGCAGAAUAUACACAUUUACAUGCAUUUUAUUGAUGAUUUUAGCAUUUGUAUAAUGGAAUAUUGUUAAUAAAAACAUAGCAAAUCGUAAGAUUGUAAACACAUUGAAACCUGAAUGAAUAGACUAAUACUUCCUAAAAUUUCAAAGGACAGUUUAUGGGACACUUUUUUGGCUUAAUGUCUUAAUAAAAUGGCAGAAAACCUCAAAAAAAGUGAAUCUCUGAAAGUCCUGCUUUCGUAGCAAACUCAAGAGAAUUGUUAUUUCACCAGGGCCCAUGAUGUCAUCCACUAAAUGUCUUUCAUUAAACUCUAGAACAACCAUUGCAUUCAAAGAUAGAAAUUGUGAGCAUGGAUGUGUAUAUUCCUUCUGUGUGGUCUGUAACUUCUCACUUAAGUGGAAGCAACAGCUGGCAAAAGUGCAAUAGAACUAGUUCAUUUGAAAACUGAAUGAGAACCAAUUUCACAAGUGAUUGGCUUCAAAUCAUUUGUAUGAAUGGUUCUUAUUGAUUUCUUUCAUGUGAAUAAGAAGCUGCAAGCGGCAUAAUUUGUGUAUACCCAAGCUUCUCAUUCACGUGGAUGAGCAAAUGCUGCACAAGGGUUUAUGUGAAAUAUAUUUAUUUACCUUACACAGAAAUUUCAUGACAUCUGCUUGGAAGUCAAGUACGCGAGAACUGAGAUACAUUUUUAUUUGGUUGUUUGUUUGUUUUUUUAAGAAAAUUUGAUUAUUUUAUUUUGCCUGAUAUUAUUACUAUUUUGCGUUUUUAAUUUGAAAAUGAUACAUGGAAUUACAACUAAAGAGAGCAAAAAUAAACCCAAAAAGUGUGAAUUCCCAGGAAUUUUUUUUAAUUAAAAGUAAAUGCCAUAUUAUAUUCAGCUGUUUUUGUUUUGUCAAAUUAGGCCUAAAUGUUAAACUUUACUUUAAGUUCCUGACAAAUCACACUUUAGUGAAUAGAAUAUCAGGAUUGCAUAGUUUAUCAUUGUUGAAAGACACACCGCAUAGAAUAGAUUUGUCAAAACAUUAUUUGAACUUAUCACUUCACAAUAGAAUUUGAACUGUAAUAAACAUUGUAGUUUGUAAAUUCAAUUCUAGCAACCAACACCUGAGACCAUACAGAGGGAUCCACUCUGUUAGGCAAGGCUGGGUUUUUAAAUAAGACAUUUUGAUGUUAAGAUAGGUUACCUUAACUCAGUUUCAAUAAGCAAAGUAAGGAAGCAUAUCUAAAGGAAUGACCAUGUAGCAGAGCUAAAAUCUCAGAUGUCUUAUUAAUGCUGACAUAAUCUGUUAAAAAAGCAUGUCUGAGUGGAUCCUGGAGUUAUGAGAGUCAAUUGUUAUAUAUAUAUAUAUAUAUAUAUACACUGUAUACAACAGCUUUGAAACACAACCUAGAAAAAGAUGCAAAGCCAAUCAGUGGAAGGGGUUUUCAAUCACAAUUUUUCCCCCACCAUUACUUUUAUGUGUUUUGCUUCGCAAGCACUACCAAGCCUCAAUAGCAAGCCAGUAACCAACCUCAUGCUGAUGAUUUGCAUUAACAAUGAAACAGCUGUCCAUGAGUUGUUCACUGUCUUUGCAUCUUUUCCUAGAUUGUUUUUCCAAGCUGUUUUAUACAGCAAACACAGACUCAAAGGAAUCCAUGUUUAAAAUGGAAUGGGGCAAAAAUGGGAUUCUUUGUUAAACUAAUUUGCAUAUGCCCACCCAGAAUCCUUUGUGGUAGUAACAUGACUCCACAUUUGUAAUUUCUGUGGGAAAAGCAAGUCUUAUGGCUUGUGCAGAUCUAUGUUUAACAUUGUAUUAAACACACACACACUCCUGGAUCCUGUGCCAUACAUCAAUGCACUGAGUUGGCAUUGUCUAGGUGCAGCGGUCCUGUCAUUUUAAUAAUUCAAUGCAAACCAUUGCAGUAUUUUAGAAACUACAAUUUUUACAUUGCAGGGUUAAAUCUCCAUCUUAUCUUCUAGAGCCACUACAGGCACCCACUCCAGACUGAGUAAAACAUGCUCUGGGAAUCAAAUGCUGCUGAUAUCAGCAUUUGAUUGGAAAAGAUCAUGAGUGACGUCAGCUUGGAUGCGGACAUCACUGGAGAUUAAGCAGGCAGCGGCAGCAGAGGACUGGAAACGAGGUAAGUAAUCUUACUUAAAGUUAGUUUUAUUUCAAUGCAAAGGGGGGAACCUAUCAUCCUGAAAUAACAAUUGUUAUUUCCAGAACUAUAGAGUCUAGUUUAUUGCCUCACUAUAGGUUCCUAGCAGUAGGAUCUAUUUUUGAGUCCACUAUCAUACCACUAUUACAUCUCCAAAUUAAAUCAUUUUCUUAAACUUAAGAUGAAUUGACUUGUUAAUCACUAUAUUAAUAAAUUACAUUUCGGUUUGCAUCCCAAAAUGUUAUAAUGACCUCCAACAUAAUUUAAUUGAAAUAAAGAUUAAACCGUGUAGACCUGCAACUAAAUAUAUAUGUUCUAGCUUUUUUAGCUGAACAUGGUAAGUUGUUGAGGGUGUUUUGGUAUGUUUUCAAAUGCUUUAUUUGCAGUUUUCUUUAAAUUACCAAUUGUUUUAUUCACAAACUAGCUGACUCUUUAUCCAAAAAACUCAGUUGACAAAAGUCAUAUCAAGUGGCAUUAAGUUAGCUGUUACAGUUACCUAUCUAGUACUCAAGCUAAUAUCUGACUAUGAAAAUAAUUCUGUAUUAAAGUAGACAUAAAACUUAAUUGGCCUAAGUCCACCUUAAACUGAAGCAGAUAUGACUCUUGAUGCAUAUUGGCUGUUACAGCAAACGUGCCAAAUUCAGAGCCCAGUGUUUUUUUAAUCAAAUACAUUUGAUGUUUACUGUUGUUUGCUUGCUGUCCUCAUUUAGUCUUUAUCCAAGUCAGCCAAUGAGAGUAAGACCUAUAAUUGCAGACAUUGUGAGUAGAUAUGGUUGAAAGAGCUAGUCAUUUGUUCAUGAAUGGCAUGAAAUUAAUCAAGCCAAUCAAUGCACAGCAGUUGGAACUGGCCAGCUUGUAAUAAAUCUUGCAUUUUAUGAAUAUUUGACUUAUGAAUUUAUCUGCAAGCCGUCUGCUCAUCCAACAAUGGACAAAUAUGUUGCCAUUUUUAUGUAGCUCAAUAUAUUAGGAACAAUCCUCAUUACUUUUUUUUCCAAGGUAAUUUUAUAGAUGUAUUGCCUAAUUAAUCUGUGAAACUUUUAGCUCUAACGUAGAUGGUGUCACAAGGCAGCUGUAUAAACUAGUAUUAAGCAGUUAUGUGUUAACCUUCUUGUCUUAUCUAGACAUAACAUAAUUUGCUGGCAAUAUACACAGCCAGAUCAUUUCUGGGGAUGACCCAUAGCAUUCCUAUGAUGUUUUCCUGGCAAAUACACCAUUUGGUCUGCCAGGCACGGCUUUGCUAUUUUGUAAAAUAUUUUUUUAGGAUGCAUGUUGUUGCAAUAUGCUUGAAGGUAUAAAAAUAAAGGUCACAACAUUAAAGCAUAUCAUUUAAUAGUCAUAUAAGUAGUAGUACUAUACUACAAAAUAAAGCAAACAUUUAUUAACUGUUUGUUACAUAAUAUGUGAGAGAGAGAUUAAUGUCUGUUUGGUUGGGGACCAGUUAUGACGCUCUCUUGCAGCUACUUUAAAUCUUGAAGAUCCUCUGUCUUGAAGAAGAAACAAAAAAAAAUGAUACUCUACUGCUACUGAUAACUUGUAUGAAGAAUUGACUGUUUUGUCACAAUAGUUAAACUGUUUCCUUAUUUCUGGGAGCAAACCCGAUCAGUGGAAGUUAUGGGUUGAUAGAAAAGGAGGUAGAGCAGCUUGCUGUGUUAAAUAGUGGUUAUAGAAUCCCUUAAAAAUAUCAUUAGCUUCCCUAUUCCAUGGGCCACAUGAUUUGAAAACAAGUGGGGGUCAGCCAUUUAAGUAUAUUAACCUUCAUCAAUUCACAUAGUUGGUGAGAUAAUUGAAACAAUUUAAAUAUUCCCAGAUUAGAGGAAUUCAUUUUUAACAUUUUAAUUUUAUUUUUUUCAGUGCUUCAUGAGCAGUUCAUAGUGGUGAUGGAGAUGAGGUAACCUUCCAUGAGUUUAUCUUUUUUCUUUUUUUUUUAACAUUCUUUAUUUAGAUUUUUGAAUAUAUUGCUUGUAAUCGGUGAUAACAUACCAUUAAAACAGUCUGGUGCAGAAAGAAAAAGGAUAAAACAUAACCAAGAUGCGAUAAGUUAGAUCGCAUAACAGGGUUGUCGCAGUAAUUGUACAUUAUACAAUAAACAGUGUUUAACACUAUGCUAUUCCUAUUUUGUGUACUUGGUUGCAGCAGAUUCUGGGUACAGUGUAAGUGAACAAUGUUAUAGGAUAGAAUAAAAUAUGUUAAAAUUUAUUAGCGUUGUAAUACAUAGUAUUUCCAUUUCCUAACUAGAGCAAAUGGGCUUCCGUUCACCUGGUAUUUGUAGUGUCCACUCUGGGUUCCGAGUAACAUACAUGACUCGACCAGAGUUUUCCAUUGUAGGGUGCGUGCCCAUCGCUGCUAGGGGUAAGGGCUGAGGUUGAUGGCCAAGCGGGCCUUGUGAUUUCUGGAUAGUACUACGUGGUAAGUGGUGGUCUUGGGAAGUUCUGUUCAUUGAGUGCCACCUUGGUGAGGAAGGUCUGUAUGUGCCGUGUAAUGUUGUAGCUUGAGAUGGUGAUUGGUGGGGUUAGGUGUCUCUGACAGAGGUGGGGAAAGGUAGGACUGAGAGGGGUUGAGUGGUGGAGUGGGACAGGUUUUCAGUAUCAGUUGGAGCACAUGGCUGCGCCCAUGCAGCCACCUGGGCCCUAUGUGGGAAUUGGGAACUCUAUGAGCCAAGGAUCCCAUAUCUUGUCACAACGUUUGGUCCUGUCAUGGAUAAGGGAUAACAUCCCAUCCAUUUUUCUGCCCUUGUCUAUCCUUUUUUUCACAUCAUCUAUAGUCGGGACUGUGGCAGCACCCCAAUGUGUUGCAAUGGAUCUCCUGGUUGCUAAUGCUAGUUUGGCCAGUAGUUUACUUUGUGCCCAAGGUAUGUCUUUUAAGGGUUUAGAGAGCAUCCAUAGCCAAGGGUCCCUGGGCAUGGUCGUGUGUAGCAUUUUAGAGGCUAAGGUAGUUACUUCUGACCAUAUUUCGAGUUAUUUGGUGGCACUCCCACCACAGGUGGUAGCGUGUCCCCUUUUGUCCGCAUCCUUUCCUGCAUAGGUCAGAUGUGGACAUCCCGAUCUGUUUUAAUUUUAGAGGAGUAAGGUACCACCACAUUAGAGUCUUAUAAGCCUGUUCUUUGUGGUUAACACAGAUUGUGACCGUUGCUGUGGCCUCCGAGAUAGCCGUCCAAUCUGAGGGGUCUACUGGAGGGCCCAAGUCCCUUUCCCAAGCCAAGAUAUAGGAUAGUGGCAUGGUUUGGGUGGAUAUGAUCAGGUGGGAGUAGAUCUAAGAGAUCUGACUCCUUUGUACGGGGCAUUGAAUGCAUAUUUGUUCGAAGACCUUGAGGGAGGUUUGUCCUGCUUUGUUGUACCCAGUGUUGUCUAGGAAGUUUCUAAUUUGUAUAUAUCAGAAGUGGUCAUAGGUAGUGAGUGGUGUAGUCUGAGGUAAUUCUGUGAACGGGAUUAGCUGUUGGUUUCGGUAAAACUGGUAAAAUCGGUGAAUGUCAUUAUCAUCAAAGUGGGCAAAGUCACGCAGGUUCAUGCCCGGUGCAAAGUUUUCAUUUCUCAGGAUUGGUGUGAGGCACGAUGGGUUUGUCAUGAAGGCAUGUUUUAUUGAGAGUUUGUUCCAUAUAUCUUAAUGAAGGUGGUUAGAGCUGGGGUGGUCUGUGGGAGUUGGGGUCGUGCCUGUUUUGGGAGCCAGAUGUAUAAGGAGGAAAAGUCCCUGCCGAAUAAGUCGUGCUCUAGGUCAACCCAUCUUUUCAGCCCGGCUGGGACUUGUAGGGUCUGGAACUGUGCCAGCUGUGCCGCAUGAAAGUAAUGUAAGAGGUGCAGUAAGCCCAGUCCUCCUAAUUAUAUUAUAUAUUAUAAGAUGGGCCUCCCCUUUUAUUGGCCCAUAUAAAUGUAUCUAUCUGGGUCUGCAGUUGUUUGAAGUCCUUGAUAGAGACUUGAACCAGUAGUGUCUGAAAUAAAUAUAAUAAUUAUAUAGAGGCCAUUCGUCCUGGCCAGGAUAUAGAGAGGCCUUCCCAGUUCUUAAUAUCGUUUGUCGCUUUUUUCAAUAGUGGGACAUAGUUGAGGUUGUAAGUUUGGGAUACGUCCGCUGGGAGGUUAUUGCCAAGAUAGUGGAUGUGUGUUGUGUUGUACCAGAAUGGGUAGGUAGUUAGAAAGGUGGACAUUGUUCCUUUGGGAAUUUGGACCGGUAGUGCCUCAGUUUUGUCUAGAUUUAGGCGGCAGCCUGAGACUUCCGAGUAUCUGUCCAAUGCUUUAAAUAGCUGUGGAAGUGAGCGUGUUGGUUCCAUGAGGGUUAGAAGUAGGUCAUCUGCAUAACCCACAACCUUGUAUUCUUUGCUCCGUAUGCUUAAUCCUGUGAUGUGGGGGUCAAAUCUUAUGGCCUGGUGGAGGGAUUCUAAUGAUAGUGCGAACAAGACUGGAGAGAGGGGGCACCCCUGUCUUGUGCCGUUGAAAAUGUGGCAAGAGGGUGGGUGUGCAUUUGAGAUGAGAAGGUUAGCCUCCGGAGUGGAGUAUAGGGUCUGGAGUACUUCGAGCAAAGCUUGAGGGAACCGGAAAUUGCGAAGUGUUGUGAACAGGAAGGGCUAUAAUAGGCGAUUGAACGCCUUUUCGGCGUCUAGUGAUAAAAAGAGUGUGGGUAUCUGUGACGAGACCAAUCUCGCCACAUUGCAUUGGAGAAGCCUGGUUGCUCGCCUGCUGCCUUUGGACUAUGGCCCCCUUUUAAAAGACUUUAUUUUGCCUGCAGAAAAGCUGUAUUCGUGCUUUUCUGCCGGUUGUUCGGUAGUUUCAAUCUACCGAACAACCGUACGAAUGACUGGACCACCUGGGAGCUGGAGUGUGCCGGCAAUUAACCUCCCUGAAGCUGCGGUUAACCGCAGCUUAAUUGAUGAAUGCUGGGUGGCCGCCAUUCGUAUCCCGAACACGAGGUCGCGGCCAUUUUAAACAUACGAAUGCACAGCGGUGUUCGCCUCUAUUUUCAUGGAACUAAAAUCGGACACAGUUUUGCGCGAACACCGCUGAAGCCGCCAACCUCCCUUCUUGUUCGGUGAAAGUGCACGAACGGCCCGGUGUUCGGUAUUUUUGUUCAAAUAUGUUAUACCCCAGAUAGGAAUCCAUGGCGAUUAAACUGUAUUCGUGUGGUCUGAGUGCCAUUCACCUAAUAAUGUGCACUCAGACCUGAGCUAUCUGGGGAUAUGUUACAUGUCUGUGUUUUGUGGAAUAAAUGUUACUUUGUGUAUUUUAAAGUAUAAUGCUGGUUUUGUGUCCCCACAUGUGUAAUGGAGUUUUGCCUUUGUCUUGGGAGAUCAUUGAGUUACUUCCCAAUUAUCUCCCAGGGCAGAGGGGAGGAAGCCAGGAUGCAUUGUGGGAGAUACUGUGACUGUGUGUCCUAUUUGUCUAAUUGUCUGUCCCUUGUCACAGUCUCCCAUUUGGUCCCCUAGGGGAGUGUCCACCAGGUGGGAGACCUGCAUAAAUACUGGGCAGGUAGCCCUCAUUAAACAGACCACUGCUUGACCCUCAACACGGAGCUCUGUCUCGUCUUUGGGGGGAUUUACUGUAUGCUGCUAAGGACUGAUUGCCAGGAGUGUAAGCCGCUUGGGAGCUUUUCCUGUUCGUCUGGUAGCAGCAAUUCGUAUGGUUCCUGUUCGUGUAUUUGGAGUGCUAUCUUAUUCCCUUGUAUGCCGUUCGGGAGUUUGGAGCAUUCACUUGUAUGCAGUUCGAGAGUUUGGAGCAUUCACUUGUAUGCAGUUCGAGAGUUUGGAGCAUUCACUUGUAUGCAGUUCGAGUGUUUGGACCAUUCCCUUGUAUGCAGUUCGAGUGUUUGGAGCAUUCCCUUGUAUGCCGUUCGGGAGUUUGGAGCAUUCACUUGUAUUCAGUUCGUGAGUUUUGGUGAUUCUACAGUAGCUGUGCCUGUCUCUGAAAGGGGAUUAUCGUCUAAGCGUUUUUUUCCCCUUUUGUGCAAAACGGUCCGUUACAAUUGGUGGCAAGCGUUGGGAUCGUUCCCACAGACUACAGGACAGCUACAGGUGACACCAUUCCGUGGAUUUUUACAAUUUGAGGGCAACGCAUGUCCCAGUACAGCAACCCUGACAGCAACAGCAUGGAACCAGCAGUGUCAUACGAGGAGGAGGACCUGGAUGGCCGGGAUGCAUUAAGGAAAGGCAUCUGGUACCAGGCCCUGGAUAAUGUACAGUACCAGCGGGGUGAAAGUCUCCCCAGUGAAGAGCAGCAGUUGCAGAAGCAAGUGGCCCUGCGGAUGCCCUUCCUGGGAGAGCAGCCCCUAGAUGAAUGGGUGAAGGAAUUGGAGCACCGGGUAUGGCAGGAGAUUUGGCUGGAAGAUGCAUACCAGGCGCUCUGGUGGUAUGGGGCACAGUACCUGCCCUGGACAGCCGAGCAUGACAAGCCAGAAGGAGAGGAGUUUGAUGGUCCUGGCUUGUUAUGGGAGGCUUUUUCAGAGCCUGAAUUUGGGAGCCCUACACAAGCCCGGUUCAGUGAUCUCUUGGAGUGGAGGGAGAGCAGGUAUGACUGGGACGACACUCACGACAUUGAGCAAGACCUGGCUCACCUAGCAACCCUGGAGUGGGAACUGGAGCAGGACUACCGAGAUCUCUUCCACUCCAUUGAGAAGAUUCAGCAGGACAGCAAGGUGACAGAUCCAGUUCCAGACCCAUUCAGAGGGGACGAGAUGGUACAGUUUUACUGGGAAGAACCCCAGGUGGCCGGUAGAGAUGGGACCGAGGUCUCUCCACCGGUCCUGCAGGGAAUUGGGAGCCCAGUCUCCAUUCCCCAGCGGCAGUGUAAAGUGCAGGGAGAGGAGAGCAGUAUCCUCCCUCCCCAGCGGCAGGCUGAGUUACAGGGGGCAGAGGUAGUUGUUCCUGCCCCCAGCAGCCAGAGUGUAAAGUGCAGGGAGAGGAGAGCAGCGUCCUCCCUCCCCAGCGGGGAGGGCAGUGUAGUGCAGGGGGCAGGAGAACAGCGUUGUCCUGCCCCCCAGCAGCCAAGUGAUAUGCCGGGACGGCAGUGUGAAGUCCAGGGAGAGGAGAGCAGUGUCCUCCCUCCCCAGCGGCAGCGUGAUUUUUUGGGAAUUGGGAGCCCAGUCUCCAUUCCCCAGCGGCAGUAUGAUGUUUUGGGAAUUACAUAGUUACAUAGUUACAUAGCUGAAAAGAGACUUGCGUCCAUCAAGUUCAGCCUUCCUCACAUUUGUUUUUUGCUGUUGAUCCAAAAGAAGGCAAAAACCCAGUUUGAAGCACAAUUUUGCAACAAGCUAGGAAAAAAAUUCCUUCUUGACCCCAGAAUGGCAGUCAGAUUUAUCCUUGGAUCAAGCAGUUAUUACCCUACAUUGAAAGAUUAUAUCCUUGAAUAUUCUGUUCUUGCAAGUAUGCAUCUAGUAGCCGUUUGAACAUCUGUAUGGACUCUGAUAAAACCACUUCUUCAGGCAGAGAAUUCCACAUCCUGAUUGUUCUUACAGUAAAAAAACCUUUCCUUUGCCUUAGACGAAAUCUUCUUUCUUCCAGUCUAAACGCAUGGCCUCGUGUCCUAUGUAAAGUCCGGUUUGUGAAUAGAUUUCCACACAAUGGUUUGUAUUGGCCCCGAAUAUAUUUGUAUAAUGUUAUCAUAUCCCCUCUCAGGCGACGUUUUUCUAAACUAAAUAGGUUUAAAUUUGUUAACCUUUCUUCAUAGCCGAUAUGUUCCAUUCCUUUUAUUAAUUUUGUAGCCCGCCUCUGCACUUUUUCUAGUGCCAUAAUAUCCUUCUUUAGAACAGGUGCCCAAAAUUGCACAGCAUAUUCAAUAUGGGGUCUUACCAGUGAUUUAUAAAGAGGCAAAAUUAUAUUCUUGUCCCGAGAAUGAAUGCCCUUUUUCAUGCAUGACAAUACCUUACUGGCCUUGGCCACUGCUGAUUGACAUUGCACAUUGUUGCAUAGUUUGUUGUCUAUAACAAUUCCCAAGUCCUUUUCAUGUGUUGUUAUCCCUAAUUCGCUUCCAUUAAGGGUAUACGUUGCUUGUGUAUUCUUUACGCCGAAGUGCAUAACUUUGCAUUUUUCAACAUUAAAUUUCAUCUGCCAUUUGAGUGCCCAGUCCCCCAGUCUAUCUAAAUCCCUCUGCAGCAAAGUAAUAUCUUGCUCACAUUGUAUUGUUUUACAAAGUUUUGUGUCAUCUGCAAACACUGAAACAUGACUUUCAAUGCGGUCUUCAAGAUCAUUUAUAAACAUGUUAAAUAGAAGGGGUCCCAGAACAGACCCCUGAGGGACACCACUUGCCACCUCUGUCCAGCUUGAAAAUUUACCAUUAAUGACAACUCUUUGUACUCUGUUUUUAAGCCAAUGUUCUACCCAAGAACAAGCAUUUUCAUCUAGACCGAUUUCCUUGAGUUUGAACACUAAUCUAUUGUGUGGAACUGUAUCAAAUGCCCAGUCUGGGAGCCCAGUCUCCAUUACCCAGCGGCAGUAUGAUGUUUUGGGAAUUGGGAGCCCAGUCUCCAUUCCCCAGCGGCAGCACAGAUUAUUGGGAAUUGGGAGCCCUGUCUCCAUUCCCCAGCGGCAGAGUGUCCUACCGGGAAUAGAGAGCCCAGUCUCCUUUCCCCAGCAGCAGGACUCUGUAUUGGGAGCAGAGACAGUCGGUCUCCCUCCCCCGCAGCUGGAAGUAUGUAUGGGAGAGGAGCUUGUUACCCCCUCUCCCCAGCGGCAGCUUAAUGUACCCGGGGGAGACAGUAAGCCCCACAACUGUGCAGAUGGGACCGUAGUCUCUACAUUGCCAGCACAGGGGGUAGGGACGGUCGGUUCUGCCCCCCAGCGACAGGGCUGUUUAGCCAAAGGGGAGACAGUCGGUCUCCCCCUCCAGCAGCAGAGAUGGGUAACCAAAGGGGAGACAGUCGAUCUCCAGCAGCAGGACUAUGUAUCUAAAGGGGAGACAGUCAGUCUCCAGCAGCAGAGCGGUGUAUUUAAAGGGGAGACAGUCGGUCUCCCCCUCCAACAACCAGGCUUCAACCAGGCUACCCUCCCAGUAGCGCUGGCAACAGGGCAGAGUGCCGCUGGUCUCUGCCCACGCAGCAACCCACCAAGUCAGCGUACCCGUACCCAGCACAGCCGUGGUGAGGCACCUGGACAUGGACAAGCUUCUCCUUUACCCAGGUGUAGUAACCAUUUAUUGUGGAUGGGCUGUGCUGUUGAUUAUGUUUUGUGGGUGGGCUGUUGGACUAACAAGGGCACUGACCGGCAGGAGGUCAGAUACCCUGUUAGUCUGUUUGGAAAAGGGGAGAGAUGUGACGAGACCAAUCUCGCCACAUUGCAUUGGAGAAGCCUGGUUGCUCGCUUGCUGCCUUUGGACUAUGGCCCCCUUUUAAAAGACUUUAUUUUGCCUGCAGAAAAGCUGUAUUCGUGCUUUUCUGCCUGGGGUUCGGUAGAUUCAAUCUACCGAACAACCGUACGAAUGACUGGACCACCUGGGAGCUGGAGUGUGCCGGCAAUUAACCUCCCUGAAGCUGCGGUUAACCGCAGCUUAAUUGAUGAAUUGAUGAAAACAAGAAAAAAAUUGAAUUCAAACAGCAACAGGGAAACAUCGGUUUGACUUAAUCCGGCAUGCAUUUUAACUUCUUUGACAUCACAAGUAUGGGCAGAAGCUAUGCAUCGCUAUUGCAGAAAAGGGGGUCCCUAUGCCAGACUCUGGGGGUAAAGAAGCCUUUUGUGGGGGUAGAAAUCAUCAUCAUCAGUGGAAGGGGGAUAUGCCCUCGCUGAAUCACAUUAGUUCAACAAGGAGCAGGAUGCUUCAGACAACAAAGGCAUCUUUCUAAGCUGCUCUGUGGGCCUACAAGGUAUUUAAAGCUGCACCUUGUAUUUUAACCUUGGAGGAGACUUAGGAUAUAAAAGGGAAUCUAAUCAUAUUUCUAGUGUAACUGUCCCCUAUAGUGUUGAUAAGAUUUUCAAGCUUUCUCUGUACAUUUCCUAUAUAUUAUGUAACGUACAUAUUGUAAAUUGCAGAAUGUUAUCCCAAAUGAAUGGUGAGAUCUGUUUUACCCACAAUCUACCUAUGGUGCCUGCCAAAGUCAAACUGGAUUAAUUCAAACAUUUCUAGGCCCCACUCCCCUCUAGAAAUCUUUCCGAUAGUGGGAUUGUUAACCCUGAAGUAUCUCAAAUCACAAUCCGUGCCAUUAACAUUUUCUCAUGCGUUUUUUCCCCCUUUCCUUUCUAUUUUUUCCCUUUUUUUCCCCUUUUUCUUUCCUUCCCCUUUUUUUGAAAUAAUUAUGGGCAACUGUUUCUGGUUUCUGUAAGGUGUAGGAUGAAAGUGGAAUGUAAAACAAAAGAAUAAUAAAUAAUAAUAAAAAAAUAAUAUUAAAACAACUAAUAAACACCCUGAACUCCUAUUUUGUUUCCCCUCUUAUCUAAAAAGGCAGAUUGGGCUUAAAUUACAUUCUGCUUCCUCAAUUGCAGAAAAUAAGUUCACCACCACAUCUACCUAGCCAAGUGCAAAGGGAAUCACAGAGUCAAUAUAAUUUCCCAGGACAGGAUCAAUAUUAGGUAUGAAACACUGGCAGGACAUACAGCAUCAAAGUUGUCCUCUCACGAAGAAAGAACUAAUAGCAGUGACAUGCUUAAUCGGUAAAAAGAUUGAUGACGGGAUAUCUUUAUAAAUACAGUAACAUUUUAGACUAUGGAACUGAUCAUCAAUAAUCACCAGGAAACAAUUCAAUUAUUUCACAGCCCGAAGUGUGGCAUUCGUUUGGGUGGACAUUUGUCAUUAGUUCAAUUUAAUGUGGUUAUCGCUGGAAAGCUUAAGGGGCGAGAGGGAGUCAAAAAAGGGAGUUGGGAACACAAAAGAAAGAAACAUAUAUAUUUACUGCACACCGUGUAUAUUCGUGAACAAAAAAUAGGAAAUUUACUUUCAUGUUUGGGAGCAACAUAGGUUGCUCAAUCCACAAGGCAUAGUUGGUUUAUAACUCCACCAAGGAUACAAUGUUAGGAUACAGAAAAUUAGAAAUAGGUCCAGGAUAAGAGCUAAAAAACAUGAUUUCACUAUAAAAACAAUAAAAAGGGGAUUGUACCGCUCAGAUGCACAUAUUGGGAAUUCUACUUCUCAGACGCUCAUAUUAGAGCUUCUUCGCUCUGAAAAGUGUAAGUGCACUGAUGUAUCUCUAUUGAUCCAUUAACAGAAAUGACUUAAUUGCAUGAUCUCUCAAAUAAUGGCCUAAGUUCUCACUCAUAGCAAAUCUUUAACCUCAGCACUGGAAAAGAAAAAGGGGCACAUUUCUAAAUGUUGGACACCUUUUUAUAUUUACACCACCUUUCUAUUAAAUCACUUGCAUAAAUAUCUAUAAAUCCAUUUUCAUGUUUUUAUAUUGGCAAUAUUUUGAAUACUUACAAAUCAACAGUUAUUGAUGUCAUGAAAAAUGAAAUAGUUUUCACUGCCUGAAAAAUAUAAUCCAAGUUGAAAAUAUACAACUUGAUGCUAUUUUGUAGAAUACAAAGGAAUAUUAAAUUAUGGGAAGAUCUUUUCAACCCUAGACUCAAUACUGAUGUACUGCUGCAGCUGGAUCAAAAAUGUAAUAAUAUGUAGUCUGCUUGCCCCGUCUGCUUUGUUCUGUUAUACUCCCAGAAGUGAAUUAAGCCAUUGAAAGGAUUUACAUUUCUUCAGAGAAUUCGUUCUAGAGAGAAAGCAUACUUUGCAAAUGUUUUUUCAAACUCCUAAUGAUUACUUCUGAUAGUGAAAUUUUACCCUGGGAUAUCUGUGUAAAUAUCAGCUUAUAACGCUAUUGCAUGAACAAAUUCUAAACGAAAAAUAAUGCAACUGGGUGGAUGUAACUACUAGAAAAUGAAUACUAUAUCAGUUUAGUUUUACAUUUAAUUCACAAGCCAUAACCACUAAACCACUUACACUAAACAUAUGUGUAAAGAAUUACAUUACGUUUUUAUAAAUAUGACCUUAAUCUCUUUUGGACAUUCAUUACACGAGUUGUAGUUAUACGUUUUAAAAUAUCUCUGUGUAGACAUUCAAAAAGCAGGGAAUACAGGCAGAAUAAAUCUAUACUGAUAUUUAAACUGGAGGUAAUGAUCUGUGUUCUAAGUUGAAUGGUAAUUCAGGCUUCUAAUUACUAAAUGUUUGGCCUUAUAUUUGUAAUUAGUAACUUAUUUUUCCUCUUUUUGGUUCAUAUGCUUCCUUUGGUAUUAUGCAAAAGUCUGUGUAUUUAUAACUGCAAAACUGCUCUAAAAAUACAAAUAAAAGAAGAAAACAGUUCAAUCAUUCUGAAUUAGAUUUACGAGAAUGACACAUUCCUUAUCGGACGUCUACCCAAACAACAGUAUUUAUCUCCAAAUCCUGAUUGUACCAUUCAUCAUAUAGAUUGUCUCUCUUAGAAUCCUAACAAAAGGCAACAACAAUUUAAAGGGCUUAUGUACACAUUUUAUAGAUAUAUAAAUUAAUUAAUUAUCCUUAUGUAAAAACAAAGUGAAAUAAUGUAUUCUAAGUACAGUCAACACCAAACUAUCCCUUAUUUCUUCCACUGAAAAAUAAAUCUGGGUAAAUCUUCUUGCAUGAGAGAUUAAACAAACAACCCUUUGUACAUACAUUUCAUCCUGUUAUAUGCGUUGGUAGUAACGAUGACUGUAGUUCCUUAACAUGACCACUUGUGCUGUCUAUAGUGGUAUCAGAAUGUAUAUCUAGAUUAUAUGUUUCACAGUACAGGGAUACAUAUCUCUUUGACUCUGCUUCACCAACCUCUAAUCUUUCUAGAAUUAUUAGUCAUUUCAAAGCUACAGAUGGUAGAGUAUAGCUUAAAGAUCUUAUUAAUUUCAUGGAUGAAAAGAACUGUAGAAGAAAUCCAUGAAAAAAUUCUGCAUAUGAGCAAUAAACAGUAUAUUGAUUAUGUAUUUUUAAAUUAAUUAUCAUUAUAAUUAUUUACAGCGUUUUCCAUUUUCAUUCAUACUUUGUAUAAAUGUAAAUAAAUAAACUGGAUGUUGGAACGUCUUAUACGUCUCUCAUAAAUGAUUCUUCUGAUAUUUUUUUUUGGGGGGGGGGGGGUUGAAUAUAAUUCUAGAGCAUUUAAAUGCUGCAGAUGUAAUAAAGAUAUAGAAUUACAGUUCAAAUCAGCCAUUUUGACUGUGACUUGAGAAAAUGACUCCAUGAACUCAGUGUGAGAGUUUCACAGAGAAACCAUGUGACUACUUUAGAUGUUACACAUCAUUUCUAUGACUUGACAUGUCUGUCUUAAUAGUAUAAUUUGAAUAUUGGGCCAGAUAAUUGUAUAUUACAUUAUAAGGACAAGUUUAAUAUCUAUAAAUAGAAAUAGGCAAAAAGUUUUACUUUUCCUAGUAAGAACUCUUACACAAAACUUGUAGAGUCUACAAUCUGAAUAUUUUUGUCAGCUUCACAAUGAAUGUAAAAUGGAUGCUGUCCAGGAGGUGGGAGGGUCUGGGAGGGAGGGUCUGCUGCUGAUUGGCUGGAAUGUGUCUGCUGACUGUGAGGUACAGGGUCAAAGUUUACUCAAUGAUGACAAAUAGGGGGCGGACCGAACAGCGCAUAUGUUCGCCAUCCGUGGCGAACCGUUCGACGAACCGUUCGGGACAUCACUAAUCAUUAUAUAUUCAAUACCAUGUACUCAUCACCUGUAGACCUCGAUGCACUGUACAUAGGGCUGGCAAACCCCUAAUCCAUAUAACAGCAAAGUAGUCCCGGCACUCAAGCUCUUCAUACAUCAGUAGAUUUAUUGAAAAAACAUGACAGAUACAGCAACGUUUCGAUCCCUCUUUUGUAUCACUGGAUAAAUGUUAAGCACUUACCAUUUUGAGGUCUUGAUUUUUUGGUAAAGUGAUCUUGCAUGUACCUUGGUGUUGAAAGGUCUGCAUUGGACAUUUGGGAACCCUUACAAAAAAGUAUUAUUUUUUUAACUUUAUUUUUUAUAGUACAACAGAAAAAUAAUUGUAUACUGAUAGAAUAAAUGAGCAUGACAAUACAUUGUGUUUGAUAAUUAAGCACCCCUGUUAGAUCACAGUUCCUGCAAUACAAAGGCUUAGGAUAUUUAUGUAAGCUGCUACAGUGGAUGAGAGAAGUACCAGAUGUCUCAGCACAGCUCAUUUUCAGUAUCUCUGAAAGUUAUGCAUAAACUGACUUACAAUCUUAUAUUUUCCUUUUCUUUUCUCUUACUUCCACUAUUGCCUGCUCUCAUCCAUGUAGUUGCUAACUUUUAUUUUUAUGUGUAGUCAUCCCUUUAUAAUGUUGCUAUAUGAUUUAUUCUUGUGUUAUGCUUUGCACUUAGCCUUGAAUAUUUCUUAAAACUAUUUAAAUAAAUAUAUAUAUAUAUAUAUAUUUAAAUUAAUACUAAUCCUUUUAAUGUUCCUUAUUUACUACAAGUGCUUAGGAUCUCCUGAUUUAGCACUGAUGUCCACAAAAAUCAAUGACUCAAACAUCUUACCUAUGCUUGUCCUCCUCCAAUGGGAUAGUUGAACCCCAAAAAGCCUUGCUGCACAGGGAAAACAAGCAUAAAAAGGGAAGGCAGAAGAAAGAAGAGGUUAUUACAUGAACAGUAUAUUAAAAUAGCAAACGUCUAUCUAACUGUCAGUCCAUCCUUCUUUUGUCUGUCUGUUUCUGUCAGCUUACCUAUCUGUCUCUAUCUAAUUCUGUCAAUUUAUUUAUCUCUCUCUCUCUACUUUUUUUUAUCAUGAACGUAUUGAACCUGCCUGGUUUCUACUCUUGAUAGUUUUUACUACAAGAAAAAGGCAAGUGCAGCGUUUUCCACAAGAAUGUUAUAUAAGGCAUAACAAAUGUGAAAUAUAUUCUAUUGCAGAUGAUCAGUCAGCUGUGAAUUUAGCACCCGCAAGACGGACAGCUCUAAUGUAUGAAUAAUAUUAUGUGGCAGCUGGGACUUCUAUUAGAAAACGGAACUAUUUGACAGCUGUAAUUUUGAAGUGCUCUUGCAUGGAAUAUUUGUUAAACACUUAACAAAAGGAUGCUUGACUUGGCUUUUGUUUAUUAUAUGAUUAAACAUGAAACCAGUCUCUCUGAGAUAGAUUAUGUAUGGAGAAAACAUAUCUAAAUUUAGAAAUAUAUAUUUCACCCAUAAACACUUUGUUCAAAAAACUACCAGGCAUUGAAAUAAAUAUAGUAAGAAGACCAUGUUUGAUUUUAUAAAAAUAUAAAAGGCAUUUAAAGGAAACUUGUCACUAUUUUGCUAGAUAAAAAAUAAAAUCAUGUUUCUUAAUUACUUUAAAUAGGAAAUAACUUUUGACUUGAUUUUUAUUGCUAUCCCAGAUAACCCAAUAGGUCCAACGUUGCCUAGAAUAUUUGUGAACUCCCUUUUUAGUACAUGGCUGUUCUGACUGAUAGAAGCCUGCUACAAAUCUGCAUGCCUAUUUGACAGGUUUGGAAGCCCAAAUGGCAUCUAAAAUGUUUUAUGUACGAUUUCAUUGCUAGAGACAAUAUUUGAAGCAAAUCCAUUUAGAUCUUAUUAGCUAUUUACCAGCCAAAAUAGUUGACUAAGAGGAAGAUCCCAAUUGGAAGGAAGUAAAGAGAAACAAGGGGAAAGACGAUAUUUAAUCAUUUAAAAAGGCUAUUACAAUGAACAUUACUAUGAAAGGGUUCACAUUAUUAUUAUUAUUAAUUAAAAAAAGGAUUUUUGACUUGCACUAGUAGCAAUGUAGUUUGAAUUUGAUCCAGUGAAAGCACGUUAAAAUAAAUGACAUUUAUGAUAAAAUACAUAUUUGUUUAAAUGCACAGUAUACCUUAUUCAUUUUUGCACUAGCGAUAUGUAAAAAAAAAUCUGUCAUUUUCAUUGAUCCAUUUUACUGAUCUUCAAAAGCAAAUAAGUGUUUUUUAAAUGCACACCAGCUGUCAGAAGACACUACACUCCAGAGUCCAAUCUGCCUUUGCACUGUCAAACAGAUGUUAAUCUCAUGGAGACGUUGGCUUGGUGGAUCUUUAAAUUCAAAUGUUAAUUACUUUCUAAGGAGAGAAAAAUAAAAGCACUUUAUAUUUUAUGAGAUCUAUAUUAGCUAAAUAUCCAUUACAACUUUGCAAAGGAGAACUUUUGUUAUUUGGUGCAACACAACAAAAAGUCACAAUAGUUUCCAUAUUAGACAUAAGAUGUAAAGCCAGUGAAACACAGAUUCAAAGGGUGGAGAUGAAAAAAGUACUGUUUUUCAUGAUUAUCAUAAUGUUACAAAAAAGUCAGAAUCAUUUGAAAUUGGAUCUUAAUUGUUUUAUAAUGCUAGUCUAUGAGCACUAUAAUGCUAGUCUAUGAGCACUUUACAGAAUAGACAAAAAGUUGCAGGUAAACAAAUAAAAGGCGGAUAUGAGGAAUAUUUUUUUCAAAUAUUGCCCAGGAAAGCUUUUUUUUUUGUCAGCAUUUUCUUGCACUUACUUUUACUCAGCUUCCCUUGAAAGAAAAGUCAUCAUUAUCUUAAACCAGGUUCCAGGCACCCUGUUGGUCACUUGAUCUGUGAAUAAAAUAAACAAUUACUGAUUGUCAUUUAACUAUCAAUCGUCUUUAUUUCCCAUGAAUUAUCUUCUUUUUUUCCCCCACUAGCAGAAUUCUGAAUCACAAAUGAAAAUGAACAUGAUUGUCCAUUUUUUUCUUGUGAAUUUCAAUGGGUUUGUGAUUCACUUACUUGGAGUUUGAAAAUGAAGACAAUGACCCUAAUUUCGAUGAAUUGUGGUUCAGAAUGAAACAAAUCUUCAAGUCUAGUAAAAAGGUCUGGGCAUCCCUAUGUGAAUCAGUCACUGUGUAUCAGUAACAGUAAACUGUAAAAUAUAUUUGUGCAUAUUAUUCUUUAUUUUAUAAAUAAAGUUAAAUUACAGAAACAAACUCAUCCUAAACUAAUGCUAAACAGAAAGUUUUUAAACUUUACAUAUUAUUAAAGGACACUAAAGUCACUCACGAUGGAGUCAUUUUAACUAUUCCAUGUAAAAAUUGCCGUUUUGUGGAAACAGUAAUGUUAACAUAGAAGGGUUGAAUGCACCUCUGUCUUGUUAACAGUCAUUAGAGGUGCCUUUGCCUCCUUAGUCAAUUUAAACUCACCUAUUCAAUCAGAUGAUCUCCUAGACAGCUUUUGGUUGGUGCAAUAUAGCAUUUUGUAGCAUACACACACCAGCCCCCAAAUGCUUCUCUAUAGGUAAACAUUAGAUUGGCUGCAAUCACCAGCCAAGGAUGCAGAGCAACUGCAGUGAGGUAGUAGAGGAUAAUAAAACUGACCUUUUAGACCCAGGGAGUGUCAACCUAUAAAUAAGAGAACAUUAUAGCAUUCGGAAUACACAUUUGCAUUUCUAAUACUUAUGUCUCAGAAAGUACAGAGAAUUGUCAUUAAUAGUAAAUUUUCAAGCUUGACAAAAGUGAUAAGUGAUGUCCCUCAUGGUCUUGUUCUGGGUCUACUUCUAUUAAAGAUAUUUGUAAAUAAUCUUAAAGUAUGCUUUGAAAGCCAUGUUUUAGUGUUUGCAGUUAGUUGACACAAAACUCUAUAAAGUAAUAAAAUGUGAGCAGGAUAUUGGUUUGCUGCAGAGGGAUUUAGAUAGAUUGGGGGACUGGGCACUUCGGGGUAAAGAAUGUAAAGAAAGCAACUUACACCCUAAAUUGUAGGAUAUUAUAACACUAACAAAAAUGCAGAGGUAAGCUACAAAUUUGAUAAUAUGAAUGAAUCAUUUUAGUUAUGAAGAGAGGUUAACAUAUUUAAAUGCCUUUAGUUUGGAAAAAUGGCACUUCAUAGGGGAUAUAAUAGCAUUAUACAAAUAUAUUCUGGGCCAAAACAAACUAUUGUCUGUAAAUCUGUUCGUAAACAGGGCUAUACAUAGGACACGAUAUCACACAUUUAGACUAGAAGAAAGGAGACUUAGCCUAAGGCAAAGGAAAUACCAAAAAGGAUGUGCAAUCCUCAGCCUGAAGAGGUGGUUAUAUCAGAGUCUAUACAGAUGUUUAAAAAGCAAUUGGAUAAAUACUUGUAAAAACAUAUUAUACAGGUAUAUAAUUUUUAAUUAGUGGGGUAAUAGCAUUUUGACACAAGGAGAUAUGUGACUGCAAUUCUAGGGUCAAGAAGGAUUUUUUCCUAAUUUGCUGCAAAAUAGUUGUUUUGCCUUCUUUUGGAUCAAUAGCAAAAACAAAUGUGAGAAAUACUGAACUUGGUGGACACAAGUCUCUUCUCAGCUAUGUAACUAUGUAUCCUUUAAAGAAAAAUAAUAUACAUGUAUUAAGGUUUUCGUGUUUUAUUGUAUUAUCUCUGACAUUCCUAGAUUCCAAGUGACUUAGAAAACAUUUUUAUAUCUAGGAGUAAACCCGACACCAAUAUUUUUCUUACCUGGAUAUAGUCAGAACAUUACAUUAAUCAAAAAAUUCAGUGUUUCAAAAUACAAUAUAUAUGGUAUACAGUAAAAUAAAAUCAUGCUGAUCUUUUCACUUUUUAAUUUGACUGUGAAGUAUAUUUAGUGGCUUUUUCUUUAUUCUGUUUAUUACAUUGCGUUUCUUCCAGUUUAAAAUUGAUUUAAUGGCUUUUACUGACUGCAAAAGAUCAGAUUCACAAUCUAUUUAAAAAAAAAAAUAUUUUCUUUAUUUGGCAUGUCAAUCAUUUUAAAAAUCCAUUCAAGUCUAUUUAAAUCUCUUUAACUGUAGUUUGUAUUAUUUCAUUAGGUUGGUCUUUCAAAUUUUGUAAAUAUAUUUUCAACCCAUAAAAUUAUUUCUAAAUAAUCAUAUGACUUGCUCAUAACUACACUAUAUGCAUCUUAAUUUAUGUUAUAAGCUACAGCAUGUUUGUACAUUUUAGCUUUUUUGAAGUGCGCUAUUAUAUUUUAUGGACAUAUUUUAAUUAUUGCAAUAAAAAUGAAAAUCUGUAAAAUUAAAAUCAGUUACAAAGUGGUUUUCAAAAAAGUUACAAUAGCAUGAUAUGCUAUCCUGCUGUCUCUCCUUCCCUAUGGAAAUUGUAAUUGGCUUGGUUGAGCUUUUCUCAAUCCAAAAUUAAAUUAACAGUUUCAAAGUGGUUUCAUUUUAAUUUGCAAAAUCACAUUAAAUUUUGGUGCAGAGUUUAAUUUAGGAAAUUAAAAGCAUGAGGUAUAGUUGACUUGUUUCACUGAGAGGGAAAAUUUGAAUUCACUCUGAAUUCUCAGCAAUUCACACUUCCAUGAAUAAUCCUGACAAAGUUACGGUAAAUAUUACUCUUACUUCAUAUUUGGCACAAAGCACAAACAUUGAUAGUCCGGCUGUCUAAUUUCUAAGAAAAUAGAAAAUUGGAGUCUGGGAGAUUAGGAAAGCAUCAAUUAAUAUUCAGGUAUUACUUCUACUUUUUACUGCCACCUGAUUUAAGUGUCUUGUACUCAGUUUACAGGAAUGUGUAACAUCAUACCAUAAAAAUCAGUAUAAAAAAUAACAACCACAUUUAAAUGUAUUUCUGAAUUAUUAAUGCGGAAAAUGUGAAUCAUGUUAACAAUGAAUCUGUUGAAUAUUGUUGUAGUCAGUUUUUUUGGUGUUUUUUUUGUAUAGAAGAAAAUAGGCACUGCCAGUUUUAAAUUAACGCAUCAAAUUAUUUACAAAAUUCUAAAUAUUAACAUAAAAUUUUUCAGGGUUAUAUACUAUAGUGAAAAUUGUUGGGAUUUCAAAUUGAAAUCAAAGUGAAUUUUAAAUAUACGGUUGUAGUAGCCAAAAUGGAAGCAUAGUUGAAUUGGAAUUUUUUUCCAAUUGGACUAUUUUGGUAUUAAAUUUGAAAUUCCUAACCUUCCGACUUUAGUGCAAAACCUUGUUUGUUUUCCUUGCGGAGUCACCAAGCUAAGUACAAUUCAAUCGAGUGUAUUACAACUGACACUUUUAUGCAGGCUUUGAAAACUGUUAUAAGUAGAUAAUGUGAAUUAGGGAUUGGAAAUAUAAACAGUGGAUUGUCGACUGGAAAUAUAAACAGUUGCUAAAAUGUCAUCCUUCCUAGAUAAAACAAGCUUAGCAAAAUAUUUACCAGUUACAAAUAAAUUGUUGACCUUCUUUGAUAUAAUAAAAUAGCAAGGUCUCUUGAUGAACAGCUAUGUUCUCAGAUUCUACUUGUCUCACUAAUUCACCUCACUCUCAAAAUGAAAUGUCAUUGUAAAGCACAUUUAUUUAAAUAUAUAAAUAAAACUCACAUAAAUAAAAAAAUAAGAAAAUGUUCACUUUAAUCUUAUAUGUUUCUACAAAUUACUAUUCUAUUUCAUCAGAAAUUUAAUUAGUUUUUUUGAAUACCUGAAUGACUUAUACACAGAUAAAAAGCAGAUAUCCUGCAACAUUGUUGGUUGCAGUUAGAAAUUAGACCCCAUUGUGUUGAUUGUAAUAAUAGUGAGGAUAAUAAUAAAAAUUCCAAGUUACUGCCAUGCUUAUUUGGAUCUAUAUUUUUAGUGUUUUUGAUUUUCAUGUAACACAUUUACCAUGUAUAAGAGGCAAUGAGUGAAUCUUUUUUGGAGUUCCUCAUUAAUUCUACAAAUAUUCAGGUUCUGCAUUUUAUAAAUGAGGUCCUGGAAGUAAUCCCUAGUAUUUAAAACAUGAAUUCAGACCAUAGUACAUUGUUCUCUUAUCUGCUCCUGGCAUAGGUAGGCAUAGGCUAGUAAGAGAUAAUAUCAGAUUUUAACAUCCUCUAUUUGACUAGCAUAUCUCAAAUGAAAAUGAGGGUGACUAAUGUGUGCAAUGAGAAGUACUGAAUCUUUGAUACAUGUGAUGGGACACUAGAAGUGGUUGCUUAUCAUCCUGGCCCCUUUGGACUUAGCCACUACUAUACGCCCAGUAAGAAUAAUAGUUACACUACUAUAAUGUGUAAACCCUUUAGACCUGGUUUUGUGAUAAAAGCAAAUAUCAAUUUAUUUUUCUUUCUUAAAAAUGUUAUUACUUGGAAGUAGUGUCGAAAAAAAGUUACUGCCCUGUAUUGCGUAGACACAACUACAAAACUUGUUGGACUUAUAUCCGCAAGACUAUAAUGUGUAAAUGCUUCUUAACCGGUUGUGUAAAAAAAAUCCCUUUUUUAUGAUUUUUGUAUUUUCAAAAUAACUGCUAUUAUUUGGAAAUAGUGAUAAAAAAAACAAACAAUUACUGUCCCUCAUCAUGCGUGGCAUGUGAGAGAAAGUCUGGAAAAGGCAAUUGUCCAAUUUUAGCCCUUUAUAAAAGCAUUUAAACAUCUCUAAUUGUUUAAAUUGUUUAAAUGUUAUUGUUAUUAUUAUUAUUCAUAAUAAUAAGGACAUGAAGGACCCAGGUUCAAAUCCCCUGUCUGGCACCUGGGGGGCGACCAUGCCUGGCCAUCCAGAUUUCACAGUGAUAACCGUUACAGAAGGAAGUUAUGUAGAAGAGGAUAAAGGUCUUGCUGACUGCCUCAAUUAAUAUUUUGUUUAAGCAUGCGUGGGAUAGGCAUAAGGCUAUCCUAACUAUAAGAUAAGGCUAGGGACUAAUGAAAGUAUUUAGAAAAUUGGGCAGACUAGAUGGGCCGAAUGGUUCUUAUCUGCCGUCACAUUCUAUGUUUCUAUGUUUCUAUGUAUUCCAGUCAACAUUGUCUGUAUCAUUUUGUAAUUAGUUCAAAGCAUUAUUUUAGGUUGAAAUACAUUUUUUAUGUUUGUUUGCAGGUUUAGGUAAAAGUUGUGGAAGAAAACUGGAAUCCAGAGAAGUUGUAAAAAACAAAAAUAAAACAAAAAUUCACCCCCUCCCCAAAACAGCAAAGAAGCAGAAAAAAUAU
Molecule: non-coding RNA, 55041 nt
Organism: Pelobates cultripes (western spadefoot toad)
Lineage: Eukaryota; Metazoa; Chordata; Amphibia; Anura; Pelobatidae
Source: the annotation of a GenBank genome assembly